This 49707-nucleotide long non-coding RNA is filed under the name Malus domestica (apple). RNAcentral describes it as "long non-coding RNA (MDOM_LNC009995)". The record is from RNAcentral. Lineage: Eukaryota; Viridiplantae; Streptophyta; Magnoliopsida; Rosales; Rosaceae.
UUCCCGUUAAAACCUUGUGGAAUUAAACCUUCCGCCAUCCAAAGUAGAACCAUAUCUUCCUUCUUGAACUGAUAGUCUUUUGGAAAAAUUGAACAAUACACAAAGCAUCGUUUCAACUGAGCAGGAAGAUAAUGAUAGCUCAACCGUAGGGCUGGAAGGAUAUCACUUUUAUCAUAAGGUAGCUCCCAAAGACUACUAUUUAACAAUUUAUUCCAUUCCUGGAAGUCUCUCUGGCAACGUAGUAGACCCCCCGAGUGUUUCUGCUGCUAAAGGCAAACCAUUGCACUUGUGUGCAAUUUUCUUGCCAAUUUCUUCCAAAGUUGGAUGUGCAUUGUGGUUUUCGUUUCCAAACGCAUGUUUUGAAAGUAGCAUCCAACAAUCUUCAUGCGACAAAGGCUUCAAGUGUUGAAUGGGCACAUUUUUCAUGAGAGAUGCGACAUUUUCACUUCGUGUUGUCACGAUGACUUUACUUCCCCUUGCCCCGGAAUUAAAAGGAGUUUGGAGGCACUUCCAAUCAAUAUUUCUCAUUCCAAAGGUCAUCCAACACAAAUAAGAAUUUCUUUCCCUUCAGUUGUUCUCUAAGUUCAACUUGAAGCAUAUUCAAAUCUGUCAUCAUACAAGGUUUUGAAGUGACCGACUCGAGAAGAGUUUUAGUCACCCUGAUAGCAUCAUAAUCUUCUGAAACACAUGCCCAAGAUUUACGGGUAAAGUGAUCUUUCACCUUAUCAUCAUUGUAAAGGGCUCGAGCAAGGGUCGUCUUGCCAACCCCGCCCAUACCAACAAUGGUGAUGAUAGAUACAUCAUCCUCGCUUGCAUCAUCAGAGAACAAGACUUCUGAUAAAUUUUCUUUAUCUUUGUCUCUUCCAUAUACAAAAGGUUCAUGAAUCAAGGAAGUUGUUGGAGUUCUUUGUGAAACCUUCCUCCCAACAACUUCUGUCAGACCAAGGGCAACCUUCUGUUGCACAAAGCCAUCCAGCCUUUGCAAUAACCCUUGUAUCUCAACAUUCAUGCUUUGAUAAAAAUGACCACGAGAAGUAGAGAAGAAGCUCCACACCUUGUUGGUUAAUUUGUCGGUUUGACCUUCACCUUCCACCUUGCAUCGCAAAGCUUCAGUGUCGAUCUCAUCCAGCAAGUCCUCCGCGUCCAAGACAGCAUGCUUGAGGUCGUCCAGCCAGCCUCUCACAGCAGGGUUUGAAAUUUGCUUCUCUUCCGCAUCGUUGAGCACUGCAUAAAGGGUGAGCAGCGUCGUCUUCAGUUUCAUGAGGAGGGGUUCAUCCAGCUUCUUCUGCCGGAACAAGUCACCGAAGUCGGCUGAAGCAAUUCUGUCACACAGCACCUGGAUGGAAGCGGAGAUCAAAGCCUCUCCAAUCAAAGCGGCGGCCAUUUUUCUCUUUGGUUGCUUAGUUUGCUAGUAGCUCAAUGUAGAAGAAAAGGCUUUUGAGAUUAUAAUUAUCGAUCUCCCAAUUCGUAAAGAACUUGUUAUUGGUCAGUUGACCCAAAAAGAUCUGUGAUUGGUCUGUUGACAUUAAAAGAACUUGUGAUUGGUUUGUUGACCAUAAAAAGUUGUCCGAUGGACCCAGAUCCGGAUCUUUUUAUCGGUGGCCUGCGGACGAAACAUCGUGGCCGUUGAUUCAAAGUACAUGGAAAUCGUGCGGCCGUUAAAUUUCUCAAUUUACACAAACAGCGAGGCUCUGCUUAAUGGUUUCCAGGUGGUGCUUCUCAUGAAAGACGAGGUGCUAUUUUUCUUUUCUGUGAGACAAUAAAGAGAGAAUAUAAAUGUUUAGGGGUUCCUUAAAAUUGAAAUAUUUAAUAGAUUUUCUGUUAUUUUAUAAUUCAAUGUUAAUUUUUGUGUUAAUAUUAUAAAAUUUUAUAUAAAAUCAUAAAGUCACAACUUUGAACCCCAAAUAUACAACAUGGAGCAGGGAGCUCUUGACAAGCUGAUAGCGGACUACAACACCAUGGAUAUAUGGAAUUUCAAUGAGAAAUAUGGAGAUCUGUGGGAUUUCACUGUGACCGUGAAGAUGGAAGAUAUUAUGAAGAGAUAAAAAUUCAUGUGUAGUAAAUUCCGCCAUAAUUAAUAUGGGAUUUCUAAAGUUCUCAACCAGCUUGAGCAUGAAAGGUAUAUAGCUAUCAAUUUAGUCCUCUUUUUGUUGCUUCCUUUCUUUCUACAUCGGCUUUUUGACUUUCUUGUUUACAUAUUACAUGAAAGGGUGAGAUUAAAUUUUGUAAACUAAAUGAUGUGAAAAUUGAUAAUUAGAUUAUUACUUAAGUGUUGAUUAACUGCUUAUUUCUUGUUGGUGACACAUCAUUUACUCUGCGAAUUUAGUCUACAAAUUUUAUCUGUCUAGCAUUACCCAAGAAAAAAUAAUCCCCUCGCCUAUUGUCAAUAAUUGGUCGAGUGCAAUGAUAGUUAGGUCCAAGAUGUUUUCUUUAAAAGUGGUGUAUAGGAUUUGGUGUAUAUGAUUUGUUUAGAUUAGAUAACUUACUAGAUUCAAUCAAUAUGGAAUGAAGAAGUGGGUGCCCACUCACAUAGUUUUCCAAGUGAAAAGAAGAAGAUGAAUUAAUUAUGACGAAAACUUGUCCCUCCUAAUCUCCACAAGAUUGGUAGGAUUGGAAUAGAUAAGAACAAGUCCACCCGUAGAGCAAAUGCAUGUAAGUUGCCCUUACUAUUCAUUUUGAAUAGCUCAUCAUAGUGCAUGUUACAGUUAAAUGGCUACUCAAUUAACUUAGUCUCCCUAACAAUUAUUAGUGAGAAGCAUUUAAAAAGCAAUUUAUAGAAGAAAAAAAGGGUAAUGUAAGGGAGAUUAAAUUUGUAGACAAUUUUGUAAACUAAAUGAUGUGAAGGUUAAUUAUUAGAUUAAUACUCAAGUGUUGAUUAACGUGCUUAUUUCUUAUUGAUAACACAUCAUUUAGUUUGCAAAUUCAGUUUACAAAUUAAGUCUAUCUAGCAUUACCUAAGAAAAAAAUAAUCAACUCACCUAUUGUCCUUAAUGAUCGAGUGCAAUGAUAGUUAGGUCCAAUAGGUUCUCUUUAAAAGUGGCUAUAAGGGUCAUAUUUGUUAAGAUUGUGGCCUCAUUUGGCAUAUAGGAUUCGUUUUAUGGUUUAGAUUAGAUAACUUACUAGAUGAGUAAUGUUAGGGAGAAUAAAUUUUUAGAUAAAAUUUGUAAACUAAAUUAUGCGAUACUAAUAGGAAAUGAGCACGUUUAUCAACACUUAAAUAAUAAUUCAAUCAUCAACUUCCAUAUCAUUUAGUUUACAAAAUUUUGUCUACAAAUUUAAUCUCUCUAGCAUUACUUCUUAAUAGAUUCAAUCAAAUAUGGAAUGAAGAAGUGGAUGCCCACUUACAUAGUUUGUCCAAGUGAAGGUAUAAGAUGAAUUAACUAUGACAAAAACUUGUCCCUCCUAAUCUCCAUAAGAUUGGUAGGUUCGCAAUAGACACGAGCAAGUUCACCCAUUUUAGAAGGGCAAAGGCAUGUAAGUUGCCCUUACUAUUCAUUUUGAAUAGCACUUGCCUUUGUGCAACUCCAUCCGUUUGAAAAAUGCCUCUUUCUAGGUCAAGCAAUUAGUGUGUCUGUAAUGUAGUGUUCCCCCUUCAAUAAGUUAGAAAAAUAGUUAUUAUUGAAUAUUAAUCACAUUCCACGUUACGAGUACAUUUAUAUAUUCCUAAAACAACUCCUACCUUCAUCAAUCACUCCUCUCUGUAUUUGUUUCUCUCACUCACAGCACACACCACCCCACCUUCACAAUCUAAAACGAUGUCGUAGCACUGAACGACGAACGCUGCGAUUUGGAACAACGAUCGCCUAGGGUUUGAAACAACGCGACAAGGACGUACAUGAUCUGGAACAACGAAUGCCCAAAUCCUCAAGGAAUUACGAUUUGCAGACCCAAACGGAAGAGAAGGAAACAACUUUUAUCACUUUCACCCUGAAUUCAUACAGGUUCCCUUCAAUCUGAUUACGGAUUGGUAUACGCGCCCUAAAUUCAUACGGGUUCCCUUGCGUCAAGGGUAUUUUGUAACAGUGAGGCAACUCUUUACGUAAUCGUGAUACAAUAAUGGAUCGGAUGUGUUUAUAAUAGGCAAAUUGUUUCAUAAAUAGAGAAGCCAUGUUUCGGUACCACAUUUGCCCACAAAUAAAAUUCAAGACCCUAAAAACAAAUCAAGAAAUUAUAUCCAAACAAAACGUCAUCGGCUUAUAUCAAGUUAUUUUCACUGACCUGUAACUUACUCCCAAGUAAUCAAAUAGGAUGGGAAACCCUGUGACAACAAAACAAAUCAUACUGAGAAUAACAAACCACUCUUCCAACCUUCAAACAUGACCCUAAAAUCUAACCCGACUUUUGACGACGACGUCGACGACACCAAUUGGACAAAACCAUAGACCCAUAGAAAAAUACCGUCCCUCUUCACUCUUGAUCGUCUUUCUUCUCUUCCUUGGCAGCAGGUGCCUUUUCUUCUGCCUUCUCCUCAGCAGGUGAUUCUUCUUUUACUGCAUCGCUCUUCUUAGCUGCAGCAGGUGCCUCUGCCUCAGACUUCUCCCCAACACUCAAUUUAUCGAGAAGCCCAGCAGCUUCAGUGGCUUCUUUGCUUUCUUCUUCAGGACUCUGGGAUUCAGCAACUUCUUGAAACUUCUCCAUGAACAAUUUGUUAUCUGAUAAAGAAAAAAACAAUCAAACAUCGAUAAGCUACUUGCGUGAUGAUGGUUGGGACCUUGUACCAAGAUCUGCUAUAAACACAUUUAACGCUUGACGAGAGAUGAAAAUGAGGAAAAUGAAACUGAAUGGAUGAUGCUGCAGCGAAAGAACCACUGCAAAUGCAUCAUGGCUAUAGGAAAAGUUUACAUUGGAUCCUUUCAGAAGGUAGACAUCUCCCAAAGCUCAUACUGAAUAAUACAAUAUUAUUAACGCAGUACCAAAUAAUUGAGAUGGUAGGAAGAAUCUACUCCCAGAAAUAAUGCUACAGAAAAAUGAUUCAUUCAAAUCAAUACACAUGCAUGUCAGAGAAAGUAUGGCAGAGGAUGUCAUCUCCUUCUUAUUAUAUGCUUAAGAAAAAUAAUGCUCUAGAUCUAUGGUUCUAUACAUGCUUAAGAGAAAUAAUACAACUUGUGUUGCAAUUUAAAUCAAGAUCCGUAGGCAACAGAUCUGCUAAUUUAUGGUUUCCUCUAUAUCUUGACAACGCUCCUGAAAGCUAAGAUUUAUUUACUCAUAAAGAGAAACACCUAGGACCUUGAAGUCUCAGAAACUGAUUAGCCUAUAUACUUUAUACAGGCAGCACCACUACAUAGAAGCCUUUGAAUUGGUGCCGACUUUUCCUAAUAUAAACUCAAGUCAAAUCAAAGACCAUAACUCUCUCUAAUCAACGAAAAACUCAAAUCUAUUUUGUUCACUCUGUUAUUCCCAAAUAUUCAUAUUCCCACGUUCCAUAGUACAUAAGGGAACCUAAUUCACCACGACUAAGUGCACUACUGAGAGAUAUUCAGUAAAACAUAUUUUGGUCCAACACUGACUUCAAAAGCUCUAAAGUUCAUAACCUCUUCAAUUUGCAAGCAACAUUAGUGCAAGGAAGCCAAAAAGUACAAAUUCUUACACAGGUUUCAACAUGCAGGUAAAGUUUCUAAACGGUAAAAAUGUGUGCUUUACAGCCUAAUUGGAACCCAUCUCCGUAAGUUUUAAGCUUAGUUAGAAUGUACAAUUCCUCAUUGCAGUGAGGUGAUCAUAGCUUUACAAAAAAGAAAAAGGAAAAAAACCCACUUUAAAUAUAUGAUUAACACCAACACAUUCUGUAAAAGAGACAUUUUCAUUCAAGUAUCAGCAAACACGAGAAGAAACCAAAAACAACAUCCAUACAAAAGGGUUAGACCUAAACUAUUAACAUCCAAUAAAAAGAGAGCAAGUCAUGGUGUCCCACAUAUACACAUGUCCAACUAGUACAUCUUUUCAAAGUUAGUAAUUUCAAUGUUUAAAUGUGGGUUUUGUAUUGGUUACUUUUUUUUGUCAGCAAUGUAUUAGCUACUUACUGGAAAGCAUCAAUUGGUACACUCUCAAGUCAUAGCAAUUACAUAAAUAAAUUAACUCAAAUGUACAUCAUCAAAUAAUACAUAAUACAGAUAUACAUAUACGUAUUAUGACUGAAUCUAGUCAGACCACUCAUCAGAAACAACUUCAAAUCAAAUUGUGAUAUCAAUUGCAUCCCUCUUUAAAGCCACUAUCAAACAUUCAACUCUAAACAUUAAAAAACAAUAUCUUAUUGAAUCGGACAAAGGUAAUUAGAAGAAUCGAAAAAUUAUUAAAUUCGGAUAUUUCAUGAGUUCAAAAUAGCUACAGAUUACAUACAUAGACAAAAGUAAGAGACAGUACCAAGUAUACUACCAUCUAAUAUCAAGCAAAACAAAAAAACAAGAUUACGAAAAGAUAAACUUAUAAAGUAGACUAAACAAAUUAACUCACUUUCAAUUGAAGCAAAUCUAAUGCAGAAAAGCUCCUCCUUCAAUUCCCCAUCAGCAAAAUCGGUUGCAUGCCAAACACAGGACUUCUCAUUCCCUGCGUGCUCCUGGACUGUCAUCUUCGGUAGAACUGCAGUUAACAACGUAACAGAGCACAAGCAAAAAUAUUCAAAACCCUAAACCCAAAAUAAUAACCUGUGUACAAUUACAAUGGUAUACAUAGACUAUGAGAGACUAACCAAGAUGAUUGGCGCAUAUCUUUAGGGUUUUGGAUUGCCGCAUGACAAGGCGGACUUUUCCAGACUUCUUGUGCUUGAGAAACUUGACAGUGCCGGCACCUCGCUCCUUCCAUUGAUUACCGUCUUUAUCAAAUCGGUAAAGCUUCGCCUUCCUAUUUACACAAACAAAGCAGACAGAUUAAUAAGAAUUUAAAACGUUCAGUGCGCUAAUCGAAUCGAAUCAAAACAAAACCCUAGCUAGGUUUUUCCAGAUCGGAGUAAAAAGCAAAAAAAACCCUAGUAUUCGACGAGAAAUGAAUCGGGGGAAGAGACUUACAGAUCGAGGAUGGCGUCCUCCUCUUCCUCGCCGGUGGUAACGGCGACCUCCUCCAGCCGAACGAUCGGAGCGACCUGAGCUCCGGUGUCCUCGUCGUCGCCGGCGAGUGGUGCCUCCUCGUCGUCUCUGUGCCCUGGAUCGGCGCUCGACAUCUUAGAGAGAGAAGUAGGAUGAGUAGUAGAAAUAGGAGUGAGAGAGAGAAUUGGGGGAAGGGGAUCAGGGUUGAGGGUUAUAGGGGGUUUUAUAGUAGUAGGAGUGUGAGCGUGAGUAAUACGCCAUUCAAUACAUGGACGACCAAGGCCCAAAUCCUUCAACCCAAAAUAAUUUUAAAUUCCCUACCAAACAAUUAUUAUUAUUAUUUUUUAUUUUUGAAACAAACGAUAUUAUAUACACUAAAAAGAAUGAAUAUGAGUUUAGUUUCAUAAUAUGUUAGCAAUAAUAUGAUUCAAAUUUGUCUUUGGCAAAAUUCGAACAUAAGACCUCACACUUAUAAGCAAAGAGGAAUACCACUAUACAGUAGUACUAAGUAGCACCAAACAAAAUUUUUUAAUUUAAAAAAAAAACAAUAGUUAUGCCAUUCAGUAUUGGUCUGAUUGUAUUCUUCUUCACUUGUAAGCAAUAAGUUUUAGGUUUGAAUCUUGUAUAUGGUGAAUUCGAUACAAAAUUAUAUUGCUCAUUGUGUGGUUUAGCCGAACUCCCCCUCCCCCUAGUGUAACAUAUAUAAUUGUACUCAAAAAAAAAAAUAAUGAAAAUGACUUGAAAACUUUGAGUUUUAAUGAUAAAGACAAAAUAAAGGGUAAAGUGAAUAGUACCAUGAUUGGCUUAAUAGUACCAGGAUUGACUUUUUAGUGUAAAAAUAUGAUUUUUAGUUAAAGUGAAUAGUACCAGGAUUGACUUUUUAGUGUAAAAAUAUGGUUUUUCGUUAAAAUGAACAGUACCGAGUGCUUUUCGUUAAAGUCCCAAAAAAAAAACACACACACACACACACAAUAGCUCUCUUUGUUCAUAAAAUAAAAAAAUAAAAAAAAAAUAAAAAAGCAACCAAUAGUUCUCAAGAGAUACUUAAAAAAAUAAAAAAAGUUUUAGAAAGUUUUUUUUUUUUUGGAUCAAAAUGGUAUUUGAGAUAGGCAAUAACUCCUCACUUUGGUCUCUGAGAAUUAAAAUUGAUAAAAACUGGUCACUAAGUUUGUCUACCAUUCAUCAUUUUAGUCAUCGUGUGAAAAUCUCUCCUAAAUAAAAUAUAAUGGCAAAAAUACUCUUGAUUUUUGUUAAAUCAUUUUGGUCCAUUAUUUGUUAAAUUGAGAAUAUUUUUGUCAUUUUUGUUCUUAUUUAACAAAUAUUUUUAAUGGAAUGAUCAAAAUGAUUGACACUCAACAAAUUCUAUGACCACUUAUAUUAAUUACAAAUAUCAAGAAUCAAAAGUGAAGAGUUAUGUCAAUUUCAAUAAUCAUUUUAAUUAAGAUGUUUUUUGAAAAGAUAAUUUUAUUUUACAUUUACUAAAAUAUGCGUAUGAGAACCAUUUUGUUGCUUAACAUUUCUAUGCAUUUACUUACACCUAAAAAUUGGAAAAUAAAAGUUUUCCUGUAAAAUUUGUAAUCAAAUAUAAAAAAAAUAAAAAAAAUAAAAUAAAGAAUCAGAUCAAUUGGGAACACUAGCUGAUUCAAUUCCUUUUACUCUUCAUAUUUCCCUCUAGUUAAAAGAGUUCCAAAACACUGCAACAAUGGUGGGGUUUGCCCAGCUUGCACAGGAACACAAGAACAAAAUAUCAGAACGCUAUACCUGAAAUUUAGCAACAGUAUCAGGAGUAAGGAGCAUACCCAUUGGAGAUUCCGCAGCAAGCUCUGCAGCCCCCUUAGACUUUGUCUGAGAAAACAGUUCUUCGAACCGCUGGACAACCAGAGCACGACAACCAUAUGUUUUAGUUUCAAGAACUACAUCACCGCGUACUGAUUUCCACAGCAUAAGGGGGAAAGACAUGCACCAAAAAACGCACACAAACACACUGUCGUUACUGUCUGCAGGCCACCGGUUUUGAUCAAACUAGAACACAAGAUGAAAUAAUUGCCAUUGAUAUAUGAUAAAUACAAGAUGCCAACAAAACGCUGUCCACUGGUUUGAUGAAACAAAAGCAAUCUUAAUUAUUGAAAUCAAACGGAAAACCAGAACGUCCACACACUUCAAACAUAUAUUUUACAACAGUGCCUCCAUGAGGCCCUAAUAAUCAAGCAGCAGAUGGGGCGGAGAUGAAUUCGACAGCGCCAGUCUCGGAAAAUGCCGCUUCGGGUGGCUCCACGUUAACUUGGUCUGUGCUCUUUUCGGCCUCAGCUGAAGUCACAGUCUUCUUGCAGUCCAAAGAGUCAUCACUGUAUAUCUCCCACCAUUUGUUCACCAGCAUCUUAACAUCUUCCCUCUCCAUGUUCUCUUCCUUCCCAGUGUAACUCCAUGGCUUAGACCCCUGAACCAAAAAUAUAAAUGUCACACUCUCAAGUUAGUUGAUUAAAAAGAACGGACGUGAGUCAAUAAUAUUACAAAACUCACUAAAGGUUGUAACGAGAACUCACAUUAGCACAAUAGUUAACAACUUUGACCCUGUCAAGCUCAACGGCCACUGGGUGACGCCAGAGCAUGGGCAGCAUAAGGUUGUAAUGUGGAGCCAAGGCCACCAACUUGUCCUUGAAAAACACGUUCAGAAGAUCCUGCCAAAAAAAAAGCACAUAAAAUACAAACAAUGAUUCAAUAACACUUUCCUUUUUUCAGUACUGUCGGGUGUCGAGGUUCCUUUAAACUGUCCUUCUUCAUAGGGAUAAUAAAAUUAUAUGGCGAGAGAGAUAAAAUUACCUGCUCUGCAAAAGCGGUGGUACGAGAAGUCUGGAGGGUUUUGAUGAGGUCACUGUAGGUCACCAAGCUGGGCUCAAACACAAACACGCUAGCAUUGAAGUAAAGAGGAGGUUUGGGGCCCAAUGUGGGGUCCCACUGGACCUUGUUGGGCCACUGCUGGCAGUGCCCAAUCUUGUGAUGUGGACUGUGGCUCCAAGAGUUCUCACAGAAGCAGUCCAGUGCCGCAUAGAAGUAGGAGUCAGGGUAGUCGAACAUGUGGUCAAUGUUCUCAAAGACUAGGACGUUUCCGUCCAAGAAGAUCAUUUUGUCAUACUCCUCAAGCUGAAAGUUUCAAUCAAAAGGUAGGGUUCAGAUCCCAUGCAAAAUCUAUCUACUAACAAUUAAUCAAACAUUAAUGAAAUAAAUAAAUAAACCUUUACCGCCCAAAUGCGAAGCUUAAAGUAAUUUGUGACAUAUGAGGCCCUGAACACCGGCUCAAUCUCUUUCACUGUGCAGCCAUGGGAGGCCAGAAGCUUGCGAUACUCUUCAGACACAUCCGGCAAGACAACCACAACCAGGGGGUACUUGCUCAUCCUUUUUUUCAAGCCCUUGGCCAACCCAACCACACCGAACAAAGCCUCGUCAUAGUCUCCAGCCAACAUGGUCACAUAGGCCCUCCUGGGUUCAUUGGCUGCCGAGAACGCACCUUGAGCUUUCCUAAUGACACAACACAUGAGAGAGAGAGAGAGAGAGAGUUAGUCCAGUUAACCAAAUAAAACAAGAAAAGACGAAAAACAAUUGGAGAAAGAGCAAUUAACUUACAGAUCUAUGUGCAUGAUGGCAAGCCGACGACGAUAGGUCUGAGAUCGGAUGUCAUCGUCGUCGCCAGCGAGUGGGAACUCCACGAGGUCUCUGUGGGGAUUGGCGCUCGACAUCUUUUGUAGACUUGUAGUGGGAGAAGGGUUAAAGCUUUGGUAUUUGUUUUGAAGAGAAAGGUUUUGGAUCUCUCGAGCUCGAGGUUUUAAGCUAUAUAGCUGAUGGCUUGGAGAAUGUUGUGCUUUUGAGGUAGGGGUGGUUGGGUUUAUAUAGGGAAGGAAAUGGUGAAACUUAGGUUUAACUAUGGUUAAAGACGUGAGUUGGGGGUAUUAAACGUCCCUCAAAGAUUCCCAGAAGAAAGCUACAUUUUCAACCCAUAUGGCAACUCAUUUCACUUUGGGAUAUUCUUUCUAACGUAGCUCACGUGUCCAGUUGUAUGGCGUGUGACCUCGUAGCAGACGGCCGACCUUCCUUCUCCUACAAGCAAACAAACUCCCUGUACGGCUGACCUGUGCCUCAGCCCUUUUGAUUUCUUUCUCCAUGCUCUCUUGUGCUGAUCAGUUUGUGCUGAGCAGUUGGCUCCCUCUCUUCCAAGCCCCAUUUUUGAAACCCUGAAUUUCCAUAUCCUCUCCCUCUUCUCUCCUCCUCCACCCACCAACACCAUACCUCAGCCUCCAUCUCUCUCUCCCUAUCUCUCUCUCUCUCUCUCUCUCUCUCUCUCUCUCUCUCUCUCUCUCUCUCUCUCUCUGUCUCUCUCAGUUCGGCUUUUUCUUUUCUUUUUUAGGCAUCGUUGUCAUGUACAAAAGUUUGGCAUGCGGUCGGUCGGUCGAUCAACAUAUGUAUUCGUCUCUGAUAUACCAAAGCAAAAAUAAGACAAACAAGAGGAAGUUUUUUUAUAACCAUGUUUCAGUACGUGUUAUGCAGCUGAAUAUGCAGCUGAAAAUAGAUUAUACUUCCUCUAAUUCUAUUGUAAAAGAUAAAAACGGAAUUUGUGGGAAGCUGAAGAUAAAAAUGGAGCAUCCGACAAAAAAGUUUCAAAAAACAAAGAAUAAAAUAUGAGUAAUGCUAUUUAUGUCAGGUUUUUAUACCAUGUUUUCAUACUAAGUUAGGUGACAUCUGAUGUGGCCAGCCACGUCAUUUAAAAAAUUUGCAAAACCAAGGAAAUGAAAGAGAAAGAUUCCUCGUAUACCACAAUCAUCAUUUAAUUAAUUAGUUUUUCUUAAUUAUUAGUUUAUUAAAUAAUGAACUAAAUUUAAAAAUUUAAUUAAGAUGUAGCUGUCUAUAUCAAUGCCAGCUAAGGUGAUAUAAAAAUAUGAUACAAAAACAUAGUAUAAAUAUGAUUACUCAUGAAACAUGUUUAAAUAUAACUCCACUGCCAGCCUACCACCCUAACCACCAACCAGAGAUUGAUAUGCCUAACAAGUAACCGCUCCUCCUACUGUCCGUGUCCUCGCCGCCUGAAUGUUGACAUCACCACUGUGCUCAUGCUUUGCCAUGUUGUAUACGAGAGACACAAUUAACUUUGUAGAAACUACAGUAGAGAAAAUUAGCUGUUACCCUCCAUCAAAGAUUUUUCCUAAGUAUAAUUUUUUUAUACUAUUUACAGGGGACGAUUUAAACUCUGAACAUAUUAGGAUAAAGAGAAAUACCUUAUUUACCAUGGCAAUCCACCUUUUGAAUUUUUUUUUUAAAGUGUGUUAUUAGUAGCUUUUUGCUACUUAGUACUACGGUCUAGUGACAUUCAUCUUCACUUGUAACUGAGAGGUCUUAGGUUCGAUUCUCGGUAAAGGUAAAUUUGAACCACAUUAUUAUUAGUUAAUUAUGAGGCUCACCCCAUUCUUCCACCCCUUAGUGUAGCUAAUAUCGUUUGUUCAAAGAAAAUAACAGCUUCUUUGGUUUUUAUACUAGAAUAUUGUGAAACGGAUUUGAGUCAUGUUACAUAAUUGUAGUCAUAAUUAUAAAUCGAACUUAUUAUUUUUGUGAGUUGAGCUCGAGACCUCUUACUUACAAAUAAAAAGAAAUAUUGUUAGAUUGUAACGUUAUUUGUUACACUCUAUGAAGAUUUUUUUUAAUACAUACGAUAUUAUCUACCCAAGGGAUGGAGGAGUGAGUAAAACCUCACAAUGAGCUAGCUAUAAUAAUUUCGCUCGAAUUCGCCUUUGGCGAAAAUCGAACCUAAGACCUCACAAAUGAAGAAAGAUAUCACUAUACUAUAGUACUUAGUGACUAAACUCUAUGAACAUAUUAGCUAAUCAUAUUUUUCAUAUUGGAAACUUAAUAUUUAUGUCAUAUUUCUAAUUAAAGUGUGGUCUACUUAGAUCAUAGGCCGUAUUUCUUUUAUUUUCCUUUUUUUUUGUUAAAAAAAUGGAUAUAGGUAGGAUAUUAUUUUGGUAGCACCAACAAAAGAAUUAUGGGAAUUUUAACGAAAAGUUUUCAGUACUGUUCACUUUAACGAAAAUCACAUUUUCACACUAAAAAAUUAAUCCUGAUACUAUUCAUUUUACCAUUUAUUUUGUCAUUUUCGUUAAAAAUCAAAGUUUUCAAGCGAUUUUCAUUAAUUUUCCUAAGAAUUAUAUCCAACCGUUGUAUAUUUGAUUAUAUUAAAUAAACGUAAGUAUCGUAGUUAGUUCCUUCUUCAAUUAAAGAACAAAAAAUAUUACCUUUUAACAUGAAGACGAAUCGGUUGUUGGAAUUUACCUUUGAUCAAACGAAGAAUCUAUGAGAACAAAAACUACAUUUUGGGUUUGGGAUAUUGUGGCAGACGGUCGACCUUCCUUGUCAUACAAGCAAACCAACUCCCUUCACACGCUGCCAACAUUCCCAUUUUUGUUUAAGAAAAAAAGUGCAAGCAUUUUCGCCUUGGAUGAAUUUGUUUUUAAUCUAGUUCCUUUAAUUUAACCGUUAUCUACACAGUGCAAGCAUAACAAAUAUAACUUUCUACCAACAUAUUACCGCAGUGAAAUGAUAUCAUUUUUUUUCACUUGUAAGUGAAAAAUGUUCAAUACAAAUCUUAUGAUAAUGAGUUCGAGUCAAUUUAUUCUUAUUCCUAAUGUAAAUAUAUCGUUGUAUCAACAAAACCAAAUAUAACUUUUCUUGAUUUUCAAAUGAACAAUGCUUUGGUGACGUUAUUUUAGUGACACAAAAUUGUAUCUUAGUUUCACAUUAUAUAUUAUUAUUAACAUAAUGAUAUAUUCAUAUUAAAGACUAUGAGAAUAAAUUAAUUUUGAACUCGCCAUCCACGAAAUUAAAAUUUAAGACUUCUCACUUACAAUAAAGAGGAAAUCAUUAAACAACCGUAGUAAUAAGUGAUUAGUUUCAACUUAUUAGAAGAAAACUUUCAUGACAAAUUGACAUACAGAAUGUGACCCAUAGUAAAUUUUUUUUGGGGAAAAAAAAUAAAAAUCAACUAACAGGCUGGUAAUUUGCUUAAAAAGAAGAAAAGAAAAGAACAAAGAAGUCAAUCUUUUUAACUUUGCGCUUAAUAUGCUUAAUUAAUAAGGAAAACUAAUGAAAAGAGUUUGAAAAUUUUGAGUUUUAACGAUAAAGACAAAAUAAAGGGUAAAGUGAAUAGUAAUAUGAUUGACUUUUUAGUGUAAAAACCGAAAGCUUUUCGUUAAAGUUCCCUAUUUAAUAUCAAUCAGCUUGUUAGCUGACCUUUUAAUGUAUAAUAAAUAACUAAAAGACUCACUUUUUUAACAAAAGAUAAUAUAUACUGAGGGGAGAGUGAACUAAGCCUCACACUAGGCUAGCCAUAAUAAUAUUAUUCAAAUUCACCUUUAACUAAAAUCGAACCUAAAACCUCUCAUUAACAAGUGAAAGAAAAAAAAAUCACUAGAGCAUACAAGGAAAAAUAAAACAAAUCAAAAGGAGUAGUUUUUUUUUUUUUCGAGGUGAAACAUUAUUGGAUUUGGUAGAAAGCAACAUGCAGGCAUACAAUUUUUAAACAAAGCGUCAUACAUAAAUUAAAUCUGAUAAAUGUUCAUAAUAACAAUUAUCAGAUGAAUAAACAUUAGCGAAAUUGCAAAGAGAGUUUAGAGAGAGGCCUGCCUAGGGUUGGGCACGGUCCACUUCCGUCCGGUUCCAAUUUGGUUUGGUUUUCCUAAUUUUGACUGUGAGAACUGAUUGAACUGGACCAGACCGAUUCCGGUUCAUAGAUUAAAUAGACGGCUGGAUCGUAAAAAUACAUUGCAAAAUGAACUUCACAAAAACCAUAUGUCAAAAACAUAAGUCUCCAAAUUCUAACUCAUCAAUGUAUUAACCAAACCUUGUAGGUAUUGAUUAUUGACCAACUAAGUACAAUUUUUGUGCCCUUCAGAUUUUAGGGGCCCCGGGGUUGGGGGACAAUCUUCAAUAGUAAUGGACAGACAUGCCUUAAGCAACAAGUGAGAAAUGUUACUACAAAAAUUUUACCAAUGAAAGGUUUCUUGACACUAACAAGACCAAGUUCAAAACAAUUUCCUGUACAGGUAGUAACAGUGUUGCCACAACCAUAGCCAUGAACUACGUGCAAGCUCUGUUGCCAUCCUACAUCUCUCAAAGAGCCAAGCAAAAAAGAAUGGUGGAUACUGUAAAUUAAAAAGAAUUUCUAAAAGCGUGAUCAUAAACCCGCAGCAUAUGAAGAUGUUGAACCGGCAAGAAAGUGGGAGAAUAACUAGCUCAACCCUUCAUUUCCCUCAAUCAUAUGUGAAGUGUGAAAACGAAUUGCCUUCAGCGUGAUUGGAGAAUUCCGGACAUUCUAGCUUUCAGCCAGUAGAAGUUGUUAGAGCACUCGUAAAACCUCAAUCCGGCUCAAAAUUUAGUAAGAGGGGCCCAUUUGUGGCAUUCCAAACGGGGGCAUUGGCGGCAUUCCCAUCCCUCCCAUUGGUGGCAUUGGUGGUGGAGCAUAACCUCCCAUUCCCGGUGGUGCAGGCAAAGCAGGAAGCAACUGAGCAUACAUAUUCUGCAGGUCGUGCAAAGACAAUUAGUUUAAGAAAUCCUCUCAAUAAAACAAGGAUAAAGCAAAUAGAAAUACCUGCUGAGCAACCAGUUCCUUCUCUUCUUUCUCUUUGGCUUUCAACUCGUUUUGAGCUUCAAUUUUGUCCUUGAUAAGUUCAUCCACCUUACCUGUGUACUCUCGGAUAAACUAGAGAGAACAACAGAAGACUGAGUGAGGAACAAUUGAAAGGUAGCCAAUGGAUAAAGGACAACAGAUAUAAAAACAUACCUGCAGGAGGUAUGGUAAGGCAAAAUCAAUUAUAUUGUUCAUCCACGCAAGCUCAAGAGCAACAUCUGGCCGGAUCAUAUCAUAACAAACAAAUAGGCAUGCAGCAAAACACUCCUUCUUUCCCUGCAUAUUCAUUACAGAAGAACAUGAUUACAAAACCACAUCAAAAAUUAAUACUUUACAAAGAGAAAGGGAUGGAAGCAUGGACUGAACCGCCUUCUUUAAUUCACGAGGUGAGAAGAAGAAAAGAAUAAAUGAGUAUGUUUGAGCAGUAAAAUCCUUGCUUUAUUUGGCAUGCAUGAGCACUCUUAGAGAAUAAUUAGUGCAUAAAAAGAACACAGACCUGCUCAAUGAAAUAGAUAAGUAGUUCCUCCGAAAGUUCAUGAUCACCAGACUGUGAGCACGUCUCCAUGCAAUCUUUGUAAUGAUUGUCUUUCUUUGACAAUGCAAUGGAUUGCUUCCAUCUGCCAGCUUUCUUGUAAAUGUAUGCAGCAACGCGUCUCAUCUCAAGAAGUUCAUGUUUCUCAAGCUGUUCAUUUGCAAUUUUGCAUCAAUAACAAAUAAUUACAUGUCUCAGUCAAAUACUUCCGAUGUAUGAAAAACUUCAAUCUCACCUUUUGAGCAAGACCUAUCUGAUCAAAGCUGUCGUGCAAAUCUAUUGAUUCACGAAGCCUGUCAUAGUCUUCCUCCUCCAUGUAUAUUUCAUUUAGAGCUUCAUUCACAGCAGUUACAUUGUUGCUCUGAACUGCAACCAUGUAUGGCUUUAUCAGACAGAUGUGACCAGCCUGAAACCCAAAAGGAUUGAACAUGUAAGCACGAAAGAACCAUUUACAAACCCUGCCAGAACAGAAACUUGGUAGCAGAGACCAAUAUCAAUGACGUCAUGUGACAGAAGCAAACCUUUCUCAUUAUAUCCACCACUCUGGUGUGAUCCACACGAAGCGCAAUCACAUUAAGAACAUCAUUAAUAACAUCAGGAUGUUCUUCCAAGUAGAAGUGUACAGCCCUAUAGUAGAGUUCGACACUCGCAACUUUGACAAUAACAUCCUUGAAUUGCAUGUGGUCCCAUGCUUCUGGGGAGUGGUUCAUUAUGGUAGUUGCAGCAUUAUCAAACUCAUCAUAUUGGACAUAUAAGUAUGUUAAUUCUUUCCAGUGCUGCUGUUCAUCACAAGCUCUAAUAAGCUUGGGAAUGUUGAGACGGGUAGAGAAUAAUUUAAUGUGCUCCAUAAGCUUCUCAGGACGGUAUCUUGCAUAUAGAACUCCUAAUUCUGUAAAGAUGCCCAUAUGUGCACGCUCCAAUCCUAGCCCACUCUCCAUAAGACUAAUGAGCUCAUUAAAGCAUCCCCUGUUCUGGUAGUACUCACAGACCUCUUCCAGAUCAUCCACCUAAAAUUAAACAUGCUUAAGUAAGAAAUAAUCAAAAGUAUAAUUGAGUAACUAGUUAAUUGUGUCCUAUGGUACAUAGACAGGUGCGGCAAUCUGCAGUGCUUACAACUUAACAAAAACUUAAUCAAAGAAUACGCACAUCCCAUCUUGGGAGACAUCUUAAUAAACAAAAGCAUUAUAUAUAACUUCGUGAAGACAGGCGAAAUUAACAUAAACAGGAAAUGCUACCUGGAUAAUGAUGUUGAGUCCACAAAUCUGAGCUAAGCGGAAUUCCUCAGCAUCCACACAUGCAAAGCAAACAAACUUCCACGUCUUUGAGCUGUUAGCUUUCCGAGCUGCAUCAACAGCACCUUGAAACUGAUUUAGCUUCACAAGAGUGCAUGCUAGUUUACCCCAGUUAGAAAUGAAUGCAAAUAUGAUCUUGGCUGCUUCGUAUAGGGUUUCAUCAAACAAGCGAUCCCCAACAUUUUGGAGAUUGGCAACAUUUGGCAUCAGAAUGAACUCUUCAAUAUCACCAAGCCGAUCAAUCUUAGCAUAAGCAUAAAUAAGUUCACUGUCCACCUUCGGCUCCUUGGUCUUCUGCCUGACCAUCAGAAGGUAUCUUACCAAGUCAUGAUAUACAUCUGCAUCUUCAGAAGCACGUAUGACCUCCAAAAAGUGGGUGGCAUCAUCUGCACGGAUGAAUGACUCGAUGGCAUCACUCACUAAUCCCUCUCGCAGUUGAGCCUUGGCCACCUGGCUCCAAACAGCAUCUUCUUCAACCCGGAAUGCAAACUCUACAGCUCGGUCAAUGCUCUGUAUGUUGUCCAACAGGACAUUCACAGCAUCAACAUUCAAAUUGAACUUCUUGAAGAUUGCAAAUGCUUCUUCAUACAACUGAGCUUCUACAGCCAUUACUCCAACUGCAGGUCCAUCAAAGUUGUCUAAUCUAUUGAUGUAGUCCAUGACUCUGGAUGGAUCAGCUUUGAUGGCAGUCAGAAUCAAUAGAUUCUGCAAAUUGAAGUUCCCACUAAAAGCAGAAUUUUGAAGCACUAUCUUUUCAAGAAGCUCAAUCAACUCGUGUGGGAGGUCUGCAGUCAUAAAUGCUUUAACAGCUGAUGAUACUUGCUCAGGACUCUUGCUUUCAGGCAAGGCAGUAGAUACAACUUGAUCGAUUAGCUGCCUUCUAUAUUCAUUUUCAGGAUCAAGGACCUUAGCCCAGAGAUCAUCAUCCAUUCUUUCCACAACAUAUCUGACAUGCACGUAUCAAGUAAAUAGCAUAAGGGAGGAGCCACAUACAAUAAUGAUCCAACAACAUCUUACUAGCAAACAGAAACAUACAAACCUGGCCUGGAGUUUGAACAAAGAAUUUUUAUUUGUAACGUUAACAAGUUCAUCAUCGCAUUGCCCUCUACGGUAUGCGACAACAGCAAGGGUAGGAUCCCUUUUUUCACAAUAUUUACCAACAACACGAGAAUCAUAGUAUGGGUUAGUUGUGAGAAAAUGCUCAGGAUUGUUGCCGCUAUCUAUGAUGAUUUUACCCAGAGCAUUAUGGACAUGUACAUCUUGGCUUCCCUCACUCACAAGAUGCUCCAAGAAUUGGGUGAGCAAGCGAAGACGAUUCCUGCAAAUAGAAAUCACAGAAAUGAUAAGCAACUAAUAUGAAUGAUGAAGGGUAAACAGGGUCAUAAAGAGAUCACUACACCUCUUUUCACAUUCCUCGACAAGGGGCUCAACCGGUAGAAGAGAACGAACUGAUAGAAUAAGACCUUUAAUGAAAUCUUCAGGGCAUUCAUCAUCCAAUAGCUGCCCUACAACUAAAGGAGCAUUUCCUGGAUUGACCUAUCAAACCAAAAAUGGUAUAUAACGAUUGAUGCUCAAUUUGAAUAAUAACAUUGACAAGGCAUGAGAAAGCUAACAGGAAACCUGCAAUUGGUAAGAAAGAAAUUAAAAUGAUAUAAAGCCUCCAAGUAUGAAUACCUUUUGGACAUAACCUUCAAUGUAACGAAGCAUAUUGUUUGUAUACAAAUAAUGGGUGAGAUCUGGAACGAAGCCAAAACGAUCACAGACAUUAAUCAGAGGACGUGCGUCUGGAAGCUUUGCUUCCAUUAAAAAGUUCUUAGCUUUUUCAGGGUCAUAAAAAUUGGAUUCCCGUGUCACACGCUCCACCUCCUUAAUCUGUCCAGUUUUUGCAGCUGCUUCAAUGUACUUGAAAUGAAUAUCAGGAUCCUCACUGUCCAGAAAUGAUGAAUAAAUGAAAGGGACAAAGAAAAAAGAAUCUCAUAAAACUUGCGGAGGUGUCAUGUUUAAACUUCUCUUCCACUAAAAGAAACUGAUACCUGGAGCUCAAAUAUGCGCCUAGGAAGAAGUACAGCCCCUCAUAGGACUUGAACUGCUCAAACAAUUUUAUGCACUUAUCUACACCCAGUUGCUCGGAAUACUCUUUGGCGGUCUGCACGAGAUGAUCAGGUAAGCCUCAACUUUAUAAACUAUGAAAGAGCAAUACUGGUAAAAAUUUAAAUAAAUAAAAAGCACUUUACCUGUACAAUAAUCUGAAGAUUGCCCCUAAGAUUGACCAGCAGAAGAUCUUUCAUGCACUCAAGAGCCCAUUCUACAGAAAGAGUUCCAAAGAACUCGACAAGAGCCUAACACACAUAGGAGUUAGAGAUAUACUACAUCACAUACUAUCAAGUUAUAAAGAAAUUUAAGUGCCAACCUGAGGGUCAAUUGCAUGUGUGUUCACGAUGACACGUUUGAUAUCAGGCAACUCAGUGUAGUGCUGCGCAUUAAAGAUGCCAUUGGUUAGGAAAAAAAUUAUCAUUUUUAAAUGAAUAUUCAUCAGAAUCCAAGAACUACUGUACCUGUAGGGCACGCAAAUACAAACCAGCUUUUUCACAAAGUUGACCAAUACGUGGGCGAUCAUAAUGACUGAACAUACCAUUGGCCAAUAUAGCAUCGGCAACAUUUGGAAAAGUCACAAGAUUGAUUUCCAAAACCUAAGAAAAACAUUAUAUGGAGCAGACAUGUGAGAAAAAAUAAAGGAAAAGAAAGGGAAAAGAAAUCAAAGUUUAAGAAAGGGAUUAUGAACCUUUGUCUGAAGGAAUCCAUGCUCAGGUAGAUUCGGCUUCAGAACAUCCAACAAAAAGGCUGUUGCCUCACGGAUCAAGUUCCUCUGAAAAAUAAGAGAAAAUACACAAUUACAAGAAGUCCCAAAACUCAUUCUUCAGGAAAAUAACAAAAUGAAGAACAUAUUCCAACAAAAAAUUGUUGACACAACAUAAAAGCAAUAUUUAAUUUAAACCUGAAGGAACAGAUCGGUGAUGGUAUUGUAGUCAAUGGGACAACCUCCCUCCAUUUGAGACAUCAUUAGAGCAAAAUUAACAGCCCCCUGCCAACAAGAUAGUUGAAGUUGUUCCAAUGUCAGAUAAUUUAGCUCAACCCGUCAGAAGAGCAUGGUAAAUAGUUACAAAACCGCUAUAAAGAGAAAAGUGCCUCAAACUUUCAAAGAAAUGCAUGUACCUGGGGAUCUGCCCGCAAAAUUGUUUGGAGAAGGAACAAAUAAUCAGGUGUAUAUCCAACCUGUGACAAUUUAAAAAUCACAAUAAGAUAAAAAUCCAGUAAGAGCUAUUGGCCAUGUUAUUAAAAAUCACACUACCAAAACUGACACAAUAAUAGUUUUCAGCCCGGAUAAUAUUGCUGUUCAAAAUGAGAGAAUUUGAACAAUUGUAUGUCAUUAAGAUUCUAGUUCAAAGAAAAGCAAAAUUGUGUGACCUGCUUUGAGUAUAUUAAAAUCUUGUCAAAUUCCCUUCUCUCAGCAAAUGCUGCAACAACUUUGGGAGUUGCCCGGGCUUUGAUGUAUAUUUUCAAAGCAAGGUCGUUAUCCACCGUCUGCAUUGUAAAUAUGUUUCAUAAUAUUAGAAUGACAAUAUAACUCAAAAAAAAUCAAGCGGCAGCAGACUCAACAAUGCCAUUGUUGAGUAAAAGUUGAAAAGAGCCCUCUAACAUGAUCCUCUCCUUUCUCUUUUAAGGUUAGAUCAAUUUUGUUUCAGACCUUCACAAGAUCUCCAAGCUCUUCACUACAUUCUAGCUUGUCCUCUGCUAGCCAAUUCUCCAAAAGAUUCUUUUUGUUCUGAUUUACAACUAAACGUGACAGUUCCAAUGAUUCAUAAGCAUUGAGUUUUCCUCUAGUUAAAAGAGUUCCAAAAUACUGCAAUAACGGUGGGGUUUGCCCAGCUUGCACAGGAACGCUCUGCAAAGAAUAAAUAAAGUGUGUAAAUUAGAUCCUGAUUCAAAGAUUACAUGGUCUUGUAAAGGAAGCACAAUACUUCCAAGGUAAUCUAAAGGUCACACUGAGAAGCACAAGAACUAUGAAGAAUAUAUAUGUAUAUAAGCUGACACGUGAAUAAAAUAUCAGAAUGCUAUACCUGAAAUUUAGCAACAGUAUCAGGAGUACGGAGUAUUCCCAUUGGAGAUUCCGCGGCAAGCUCUGUAGCCUCCUUAUACUUUGUCUGAGAAAACAGUUCUUGGAACCGCUGGACAACCUGAGCACAACAACCAUAUAUUGUAGUUUCAAGAUAUCACCAAAGUGCAAACAGAAAACAAUUGUGCAUUCAUAUUCUCAUACUUUUUGAACACCCACAAAGACUUAAAUUACAAAAUGCACCAUAGAACUUCCCAGGAAAAGGUUGUUUCAAGAGGGAAUAUAGGGAUCCGAUUUCUAUGUAUCACUACAUACUGAUUUCCACACAUAUGGGGGAAAGACACGCACCACAAAAACCCACACUAUUGUUACCGAUUUCCUUCUUCGACACCACAAGCAAUGACAACAACUAAGAUAAAUGUGCCAAUUGUCAGAAAGUUAUUACAAAAACCAACUGCAAUCGUUACCAGGUCCUCAGCACCAGGAAGGUUUCCUCUUUUCGCAAGACUCACUGCAAGCCCCAAAUUAUUCAACUGCAAAAUCCCCAAACAAUAAAUUAAAGACCUAACAUUUUCUUUUCUCCAGUAGUCAAAUGCACAAAAAACGACUCAAAAGCAUACCUGACCACUAACAAAAGGUACAAUUGUUUGUUCAUUUACAGUGGCAAGUAAGACCUGGCCUCGCCUAUUGACUGCAUAAAAACCCCCAACGGUUGAAGCUUCAGCUGUCAAAAAUAUAGGAUCUGGACUGAUUCGAUUUCUAUAAACUGCAGUUGCUGUCUCUAGGUCAUAUACAAAUAAAAGUCCAAGCUUUGUGAUAACAUAUAUCAACCCAUACUUUUCCGAUAUCUGAAAUCAAGAAGAGAAAAAAAAAAUGUAGUUUGAUUGAUAGGUAAACAUAUGUUUAAAUCAAAGUAAUAACAACCAAAAGUAAGACCUGCAUUGAUACUGGAAAGUCAUCAGCAAAAUCCGGAGGAAAGAAUAAAUCUGCUUGCUUCUUAGUGUAUGAUGGUUUUCCUGAUGCCAAUUCACAGUAAAUGUUAGAUCUGUGCGAUGUGCACUAAUAUAUUCUAAACGGAAUCCGGUGAAGAAGCAGUGUACCUGGCUGGGCACCAAGCUCAAUUACAUGCAUCUUUGAUGUAACCUGUCCAGCAUUGGAGGACUUUGAGGCAAAACUAAUAAGAAUUGAUGGAUGCUCAUUCCCAGGAACCUGCAUGUAACAGAAAAUUAAGUAAGGGAAUAUAGCACACAGUAGUAAACCGCAUAUAUUUAAGCCAAGAGAAAGUGAGAAAGAAGUAUGGCACCGCACUUUAUAUGUGGCAAACGAUGCAGCAUGUGCUUCAAGAGCCUGACUACGUUUCUGUUCCACAGAAAAAAGCUGCAUAUUUCCUUUGACAAGUUGUGGCCUCUACAGUCAUUUUGGCAGAAGCAAUAUGUUAAUUGUUAAAGAUGUCACUAAAUCUGGUAAACCAUAAUUAGUUCCAUUCUCGUUAAAUUAUAAAAAUGAGAUAAAAAAUAAAAUUGAAUAAAUAAAAAGAAAAAAAAUCUUAUUUUCAAUAAAGUAAUUACAUAGUUCCAAGUAUCAUUGAAAAUAAAACGGAUAAAAUGCUGAAGUAUAAUGGUGCAACUAGAACAUCUUAUCUAAUCCCGGCUCCCAUGAAUUGAAAACAACACAACAUUUUGACCACUCUUCUAAAUCUUUUAGCAACUUCACAACAAAGUAAUAUGAAAAAAUGGCAAUAAGAAGUCAUGUAAAAAUAUUAACAUAGAAAAAUUAUUUUCAUACAGUUAUGUACAAUUAUAAAGGUGCCAGUUCACACUCCAAAUUUAGAAUCCAUCGACAGGAUUACAGACACAGAAGGAGUACAAAGGCAAAAUAAGCGAACAACAAGAUAAGCACUCACCUCUGCUGAACCAGGAGCAAUUCCAAUUAAGACCAACCAUUUUUCCGAAGGAUCACAACGGUAGUUGAUUAUUUGAUUGUUAGCCAAAUUAGCUGUUCGCUCAAAGACCUUUGUAGGCUCGGAUUCACCUAAAAGUAAAAUAUAUUUAAAACAUGUGCAAAAAUAUAAGAGUAAAAAACCUCAUACGGAGAGAUGAAAUAAUGAGAAGAAAAUAAAAUAAAAGAAACCAGAUUCAAGGAUAUGAAAAGACGUCUUACCUUCAAUUAACCAAUGAUAUACUGAGGUCUGCGUGACCAGACCCAGCAUCUUUGGAGUAAUCCACUUCCAAAAGACAAUCUACAAAGAACGAAACAAAGAGCAAACAGAAAAAUUUAGGAUUACAACCAGUUACCAAAAUAAAAUUAUAAAUAAAGAUUGUAAACGUUCACAGCAUCAAAUUCGACAUUGUGAAUGCCCUAAAAGGGCAAGAUCAUCACCUGCUCAGGCAUCUGAUGUGAUUUCAUCUUUGCUUUCAUUUCAAUGUUAAAUAUUUGUAAAUGGUCCUGAGUUGUUCCUUGAACUUGAGCUACACAUUGAAUUCAGCCAUCGAUCAGCGGGCGGGACAAUCACCACAACAACAAAUAACAAGAGAAAAAGACAAUAACAUCAACAACUGAACACAAAAUAUGACGGUUUAUAAACAAUUCAACUCAAAUAAUAAACGAAUUUCAAUAAUGCUCCCUGCUCGCAAAUUUACCAAUCAUAAAAAAAUGGAAAUGCAUCCGGUAUAUGAACAGAAAUCACACGGUUCCAAUAUACAUUCACAGUGAAACUGAAGCACACACUGGAAUUGCAUCACAACAUUAAUUUCAAGAAUUCAAAUCAUACCUUUUAGAGCAAGAAUUCUGGAAUUGGGAUUCAUCAAAGCCGAGUCGGCGGUAAUGGGUCGACGCAAUGGCUGCAUGGGCAUGCUCAUAUCGAUGAUAACGACGCUAUUCUGCGGCGAUGUCUCCCUAACACAAAUGUACUUAUCCGAUUCCAUAGUCACAUGCGUAAACGUAAUGAAUUGGGGAUUGAUCCCAAUACUAGGCAACUGAAAAACCACACAAAAUUCAAAUCAACAAUCACCAUCAUCGCACUCGAUCACUCAAACGCAUUGCCAAAAAUCCAACAAAAAAUGCACAAACUUGCACAGGUAAACGCCUGAUUUAUACAUAAUUCGCAAAUGGGUCAGUGGGAAACAGAGUGAAAACGCAGUUCUCAAAAGGAUCUAGAUCGAUCCAAUGAGGCAUUGGAUCAAACGACGAAAACCCAGAAAUGGUUUGAUGAAAUUAGGAUCGAGAUGAAGGUGGCAUUACCGUGAGGGCCUCUUUCAUCGUCAUGGGGGCGUUAGCGGCGGCCAUGGUGCCCGGGUCGGGGCUUUGGUAGGAGGACCCGAUAAGCAGAGAAGAAUGUGGCACAGCAGAACCUUCUGCGUGUGGAUUUGCAGAGGAGAGAGAGAGAGAAAGACUGUAUGUGGAUCUUGUAGUAUGGGAAUGUAUGCAGAAGAGGAGGAGCUAUAGUAUGCGUCUUUUGUCGCGCAAAAUUUGUGAAUCGAUUGCUAAGUGGGGUUGUACGUUGAGAAUGUAAUGCGUUAGUCGAGUGCACCUGUCAACGUACAAUACAGGACUGCUUUUUUUGUGUGCAUGUCAUUUCAGUUAAUGAUUUUAUUUUAUUGUUUGUUUGUUUUAUAAAUACGUGUUUACGUAAUAAGUAAUACAAAUGUGAUACAUAAAUAUACUCUUCUUAGCAAUACUUAAAAUUAUAAGAAGCAGAUGGGGGGUAAGACGCGAGAUGUAGCGCAGUCUGGUGAGCCCAUUUGUUUUGGAGAGAUGUGGCGCUGUCUGGUGAGUCCAUUUGUUUUGAAGAGUAUACAGAGGUUUUCGAGGUGCUAUUUAUAAAAUAAAAUGACUUUUAGGUUAAGUUAUUAGAAAUCCCUUUAAAGUGCUGAUAAUUAAUUACAAUACGAAAGAAGAAAGUCAUUUACUAUAUGAAAGGAUAAUAGUAAAACUAAAUGCACUUGUAAAUUAGACAAGUUGAUCAAUGCAGUGCUGAGGGCGUGUUUAAGUACAGUUAAUGACAAAUUAGGUAGUAUGCAAGGUAUGUUUACGUAAAAUCAAAUUAUUAAGAUAUAGUACCAUAUAUUCCAUAUACAUCAUACAUUCCAUCGUCAUUGGUCAAACAUAUUCAUCAUCAUUUGGUAUCAAUGUGGGUCGUGGAAUGCGAAUUUUCAACCAAUAGUAGCAAAAAUUGUUUGAUGUUGAACAACUAAUACAUAGACUUGCUACUUAAGAAACCUCUAACACUUUGUAGCUAAGAAACCCCACAAAACAUCUUCUUCUUUUUUUUGUUCCUUUAUGUAACUUUGUGAAACUGUUAAAAAAAGUUGUAAAUGUUACUGUUUUAAUUUACGGCAAAGGGAGGAGAGAGUUUGACUAAAGACAGAGAGUUGAAGAGGCUCUAUUUGUCAAUAAAUUGGGAUGUAUUGUGCAAAAUGUAGCUGUAACGUAAACAAUUAGUCUAGUUGAUGAAGAUAGAGUGAUCGUCUUUUCAACCUGAAUUCGGGUCGCUUCCCCAAAUAUUAGUUUAGAAUGUUGAAUUAUGAAAGAGGUUUUUUUUUCAAGAAAAUAAAAUAUUUAGGGGAAGUUGGGCUUAUUUCACAGGCCGAUUGAUUUUGCUGUGUGGGCUUUUUGACCGCUAUGUGGGUACUCUAAUAGUUUAAGCUUGGGGCGCCCUUCUACGAAGUACGAGCUCAUUGGGCCAGUUGUUUUUUCUCAAUAUUUCCCCUGGCCCUUGAACUAUUUUUAAUUUUUAUUUCAAAAUAAAUAACAGAAUUGUUGCAACAGUUCGCAAUCAAAUUAGCUUUACAUAAGAGACUAAUUACUCGUUUAAAAUAUUUUUAAAAUGAUUGAAAAUACUUAAAAAUAUAUAUUUUUGAGUUCUAAAAACACUUGAAGUGCUUUUCCAAGAUUCAUUUGUAUUUUUGCUAAGGAUUGGUACCAACAACAUUUUUAUUAAAAACGCUUUCAACAUUUUAAAGUGCUUCCAAACGAACCUUAAGUAUCUAUCACUUAAUUAGUUAAUUCUUUGCACUCGAAAUUCCAAUAUUUAAUCCCAGUAUCACCAAGAGACAUGUGUGCGAAAUAAUAAUUCAUUUAAACUUUGGUGUUUAACUUCAAAGCGUACUGUUAUCCGUUUCCAUAACAACAAAAAAAAAACAAAAAAAACGUAGCAUUAUCCACCUUUAACAUUAUAGCGUUUUCAGCCCAUUAAAUUUGAGAAAUGAUUUAGACGCAUCAUUUUUAUCUUUUCUUGCACUUGUUUCUAGCCACAUAAUUCCAGUCUCAAAACACAAUCAUGGGAACUUUCAUGGCCAAGUGAACUAUCUCAUACGUCAAAAAGCAGUUAUGGUCCUUGUCGAACUGUUUAAAAAAUCAAGUCGUUUGUUUGUAAAUUGUAGUGCAUCGUCUGCUCGUUUUCCCACUUGUUUCUUCUUCGUCAAGCCCACUUCAAUAGAAAAAUUAAUGAAAAUUGUUUGAAAAUUUUGAAUUUUAACGAUAAAGACAAAAUAAAAGGUAAAGUAAAUAGUAUCAUGAUUGACUUUUUAAUGUAAAAAUGUGAUUUUUCAUUAAAGUAAACAGAACCGAAAACUUUUCGUUAAAGCUCUCUAUUUCCAUCUAUUAUUUACGAUAUUUUAGCAAAUCUCUCGUCCUUAUCAACAUUUGAUAGUGUAAUCUUGCUCCGAUUUGCAACCACUUGCAAACUCAACUCAUCCCAAUUGCUCUCACACUAGUCCACAUAAAACAAAGGGUAUAAAAUAUGAUGAUCUUUCAGAGCAGGCCUGACAAUUUCAGCAUAACUCUUAACCUAUCACGAAACGAUACGUGAAUAAUAAGUUUUGGUUAAUCGGUUAACGAGUCAAGUUAUUAAUGAGUCACUUGUUAAGAACACGUUAACAAAUUUUGUCGCUAUCGGGUCAUACAAUUAAUAACUUAUUAAGAUAACGGAUAUAACAUGUAAAUAACACGAACACGGCCCAUUUGCAAUAGACACUAGACAUGACAAUAUCUUACAUGACUCAUUAACUUGACACGAAACAACAUAACCAUUAACAAGUCAUGUCAUGAUCGAGUCGUCUAUUAAGACAACAAGUUUGACACGACAUAACCCGUCAAGAUAACAUGUACAUCAAGAAAACGACAUGAACAUGACAGAUACAAACCAUUUGCCGGAUCAUUUUUAGAGUACAAAUACGUAUUGAGCACAAAUAUUUAGAAAUAACUCAUCAUUGUCUGGGGGUUUAAACUACAUCGACGUAGUACGCUCCCGAAGUGGUGCUACACAAAUCAAUUGACCAAAGAUACUUGUUAAUGGGUCGUACUAAUAAUAUUUUUUGUUCAUUUAACCGACCAAGUUAGCCUUUCAGUUUAUGACGUAACAUGACAAACUCGUAACUUCUUAUUAGAGUUUUUAUUUUUUAUUUAUUUAUUUUUAACAAACAAUAUUUUAUAUACUAAGAGAGAAGAGGUUAGCUUAGCCUCGUAAUGGGCUAAUAAUAAUAUGGUUCAAAUUUGCCUUUGACGAGAAUCUAACAUAAUACCUCUCAUUUACACGUGAAGAAAAAUAUUAUUAGACUCUAGUAUUAAGUGACAUACCUUAUUAGAGUAUUUUUAGAUAUGUUUAAGUGAGUUGUUAUUAGCACUCAAAAAGUCUCAUUUUACACUCUUCAUAAAUGUAUUUUUCUUUCUAAUUAUAGAAAGCUUAGUGUACCAGAUAAGAUUUUUGAAGUGUUAAUAACAAUUUCCUAUGCUUAAUUGGGAUUAUUAAUUAGUUCUAGUUUUGGUAUAAAGAAUUUUAAAAAAAUUAUGACCCAAAAAUAAACUUUAACAACAUGCUCCACCAAGAUUGUGAAAUAUAAACAAUAUAACAAAUAAACAGAAUUCGUAAUUUAUUAAAUAUCCCCAAAGAAUAUAAAAACAACAACAACAAUAAUAAUAAUAAUAAUCUGCUUCUACACAAAAUAGACAAGGUUUGACAAUCCCUUCCUCUAUUUCCUACCCUUUCCACCGCCAAGUAUUCCCUUUUCGAACCGCUGGCGCCAACCGCGCACCGCCCAUAGUUAUUAACACCCCGCUCCACUGAGCCACCGCCACUAGAGCUCUCAGUUUCCAAUUCUACCCCUCCACAAUCCGAAUUCUCCCCGCUUGUCCCUUCUUCCUCGCAAGACCUCCCGCCACCUGAAUAAUUCCUCACCACCGUCCAUCCAUCCGAUUCCCAGUUUGCCGCUCCCGUCGUCGCCAAUUUACCAAUUCUAUUCCUAGCAGAAACCUCGUACUCCUCAUCGUCCUCGUCAUCCUUAACGUCGCUUUCAUCGCCGAACUCGGAGUUAGCCCAGUCGAGAACGCAGCGAGGUGACGAGUCGGCGGCGACCGCAUUUGGAGACAGGGAAGCCAAAAAUGGAUGCUGCAGCAACUGAUCGCAGCUCCACCGCUGCUUCGGGUCCCUCCUCAGACACUUGUCGAGAAAGUCGCGACCAGUUUCCGACAACCGGCUCGGGAACCGGGGCAACCCGUCCGAAACCGCGAUCCGAGCCAGCGUCUCCAAACCGCGAUCCUCCCACCCGGGCUUUCCGGUCACCAUCUCGAUAACCGUGCAGCCUAACGACCAUACGUCGGACUCCGGUCCCUGAUAUUGCCCGUUUAUUACCUCCGGUGCCAUCCAAAGCGGACUUCCUCGUGGUAUGAUCCUGGCCGUACACGUGUCAUCCGACAAGAUAAUCGCAGAACCGAAAUCGGCGAGCUUGGCUUGGUUAAUAGCGGGGCCCACCAGGACAUUUUUACCCUUGACGUCGCAGUGAACAAUGCCCUUCGAGUGAACGUCCCUCAGCGCCGCAACGACGCACCAAACGCGCGACCGCAGCGUCGUUUCGUCCACUUCAGCAUCCACUGCGGUGCCACCUGGCAAGUACUCCAAGUGGAGGUUCCGAAACGACGUCGCGGAACCGCUCCCCGGUUCGCACGACACGUCGUCGCUGAGGUAACUCACGACGUGUGGUGAGGAGAGCGACCGGACAAUUCGAAUUUCAUUCUCCAGCGCCUCCAGCUGGCCGGGAAGACACGCGGCUUGAUCGACCGAUUUGGCGGCGAAGACACGACCGUCCUGUUUGCUGACCCCGAUGCUGACGGUGCCGAACGACCCCCUUCCUAUGCAUUUUCCUCGUACCCAAGAAACCGUGUCGUGAGAAUGCUGAGAGUUUGAGUUCAUUUUCCCCAUGUCGGAAUUUUUUUUUGUGUUUUUCUUGUGUCUUUCGAUUUGGGUCCAACUGGGUAUUUAUACGUGCGGGAGAUCCAAACGAAAGUUCGUUGCUUUUUAAUCUUUUAAUUUUUAAUUUGUGGGAAAAGAUAAAAGGAGAAUUAUUUUUCUGUGAGGGUGAGCGAGAGGUGUGCGAUGACGUCAGUGAGGCAUCUUUGCCUCUUGGUUUGUGUUUACGUAGAGAAUGGAUAGUGGGGUGGGGGAACGUACUUGGGUUGGGGAGGUUUAUCCUUAUCCAAAUAACCGAAUUUGUGUUUUGUUUUGAUCUCGGGCCAAUUGUUUAAUCUCCAAUUGCAUACGUCGUAUGUGGAUGCCUCGAAGCCAAUUCAUGUGGUGAUUUUUGAUCUUGGACUAGUGUCGGUAACCAAAGUUAAAAAUUUGUGAAUUUUCGUUUGGCUUACGUUAAAAAAUUGUACAUGAAGCACACAGAUGAAAGCAAUAGACACGUUAAAUGAUAUUUUUGCACCAUGUGCCAGAAAAAUAUCUUUUUUGCAGUUGAAAUUGGGGAUCGGUCUAUUCAAAAGUUCAAGUUUUGGCCUAGUUAAUGAUGAGAUGAUGAUGUCACACUCGAUUUGUCAUUGUCUAAACUCCAAACCGAACCGAAUCAAAAUUGAACUGAAUGCAAAUUGAAUUGAAAAAAAAAUAAAAAAAAUAGAACCGAAUUGUACAAUAACUUCGGUUCGAUUUUCAAUUUUAAUAAAAAAAUCGAACCGAUUGGAACUGAACCCCGUAACUAUCAGGCCUCGACGCCAACUUACUGUUCUUUUUGUGUUUUGUUUUCUUAACGAAAAAAGAAAAAGGAAAAAUAGAGUGGGGGGUGAUGGGGUGGCGGAAGGCAUUGCGGUUAGGUGGGCAACAAGAUCCGGACCCUUUGAUUCGUUGACUUAAAACUAUAUUCCCAAAGUCUUGCUGUUGCGGCUCCAUUGGGUAUCUAUCCAAUAAUACUUACAACUGCCGAGGCUGCAUGGACAUUGAUGCGGACGUGUUACACAGGAUGACAAUUAAACAAAUAGUUCUCUUUUUUUGUUGAAAUUUUGUGAAUAUUAGAGAGGUGGAAAAUUGGUCGCCAAAUAUAUUAGGAGCGGGUGGGGGCUCAACAGAUCACGGAGACAUGGGGAACUUCAGAAGAGGUACAACUGUUUUACAGUGACGUGGCGGGAAAUCGUUGGUCCACGACCGCGCGAGAUAACUUGGUCGGCAACAAAGAUGAGGAACGAGGAUCCUUUCCGGAUUCUCUUUGUGAGAAUCUUAAUGAUCUUCUAAUCACGUCAGUUUAUAGUAUAUCGUACGAUUAAAAAUUAUUUUAAAUACUUUUAUUUAAAAUUAAAUAUAAAUAAUACUUGACAAAAAUUGAUCGUAUGAUAUACAUUAAACAAAAACGAUUUAAAAAUCUCUAGAAUUCUCAAAAAAAAAUUCUAGAGAGAAUCCUCAUUCAAAUAAGGGAUGUCUGUGGGUGGCAGCGAGAAAGAAAGUGAGAGAGGAGUCUGGUGAUGACGUGUCGUUAUCGCGGUCCAUGGAAAAUACUUUGGAUUCAAAUAAUGUAGGGAAUGACAAAUUGGCAUAAAGAGAGCAGCCACCAGCCAGCUAUCCAUAUCAAAUCGAAUCCCGUGGAAAAGGAUGAGGGGAAGGGAGCCCAUAACUUGAAAUGAUGAAACACAUUCUGUGGCUUUUGGCACCAUCCACAUCUUUCUCUCUUCCUAACUAGUUGGCACCACUAUUUGGGACAAACUACAUCAAAAUUAAAAAUGAACAACAAUUUAGUAGAUGGUUUGUAAUUUAGUUGGUUAAAUAUUUUUUAUUCAAGAUUUAUUUGUAGUUGAGAUUUUACAACACGGUGCGUUUAAUUACCAUUGCUUUUAUCUCGUCAAAAGAAAUCUUAACUAUUAAUAGUGAUAUAUAUUCCCGACUGUAUACAAGAUUUGCCUUUUUUGUUUCAUAGUAGAAGGAUAAGGGCCAAAAUAGUAGACAACACUAUAAAUUUGGUGAUUGACAAAUAUGGGGAAGCUUCAAAAAGAGAAGAAAUCUCAGACGGAGUUGGGUUCUUUUGAUGAACUUUAGUUAAUCAAGAAGUAACCGAGCAAGUAGCAAGAAGUUUCGUGAGCACUCUUUUUUGGUGUCACAUGUGACAUGUUAAAGCUAUAUGAUUAAGUUAUUCUUUUUAUGAGAAAUUUUUCAGAAUGUCAAAAACACAGCUUGAAUUAUUAAAUGUCAUACACUAAAUUAAAUUUUCAAUCAAUUGUACUAUUAUAUGUGGGUUUUUUGGACAGUAUUUCUAAUACAUCAAAAAAUCUAUUUGCUCUUACAAUGAGGUUCAUGGGUUUUCAGCCACGUGUUCUAAAGUUUGGUUCAAUGUAAAAGUUGGUGCAAGCUUUUAAGCACAGGAGAAGGACGUGUAGAAAGGCCAAAAAGGGAGUGAGGAUGUAAAGGUUCGUCGAUGAAACUUCAAUUUUUGGGAGAUUGCCUUAAAAGGAAAAAAAAACGUGUCCUUUUUUGCUUAAUAAUAUAUGGCCAGCAGCUCAUGUGUAACAUCUCUCCAAAGUGUCCAACCAAAACCAUACACGGGCCCAAGAAUCAUUUCUCCAAAGUGUUUCCUUUUGCUUGCCCAUCGAUUGUUAUUACGUAUCAGAAAAAUCGAGGAUUAUGAUAACAAUUAAUUAAAAUUAUCAUGAUAGACUGUACAUUGACUUAAUACGUAUAUCGACAAACAAUAUGUGAUUUGAUUUAUUGUUUUUGAAUACAUGAUCUGAUAGCUAACAGAUAAUGAAUGGUUUUGAUCGUAACAUGUGUAUAAUAAAAAUUUGUUAAUUACAACAUGGUCCACAAGGAGAUACACCUCUGAAAUAGUGAAGGAAGUUGAGUUUUCACCACAAAUCAAUUGACCAUGGGGAGUAGUCUAACAUAAUUACUUAAAAGUUCAUGUAAAGUCCCUCAUUUUAUAUGUCGGAUUCAUCUCAACACAGUCUCUCAUAUGUUUCGAAUUUUCAAGUGAAACACGUGAACAACACAAUUAAGGUGACGCAAAGCACAUGUAGCCGUUGGGCUUCAUAGAUGGUACAACUUGCUCUUAUACCAUGACAGAAGUUGAGGUUUCACCAUAAAAUCAAUUGAUAUGGUAGCUGGAAGUGUUGCAUAUUUGUUUGAAGCCGAUGAUUAACCACCAUAAAACCAAUUUUGGACUUUAAGAUUAUACAAUCUAGUUAUAGUAGCUGGAAGUGUUGCAUAUUGUUUAUAGCCUAUGAUUAGUUGUAUAUAAUUAUAAUUAACAAAAACGUGUGUUUGUUUUUUCAAUUGUUUUUGAAGUGAUUGAUAAUCUGAUACAUACAAGGUUUAGUUUAAGUUCAAGUUUGUUCCGAUGGUUCGGACCAAUGUCGUUCAAGUCAAAGACAAUGGAACAUGCAUGAACCCAAAGACGAUUCCAUCUUUUGCGGCUGGCAUGAAAUCCUGACAACUCACAAUGCUUCCUCUUCUUUGUGAUUUCAUAGCUCAUGAGGUUCGUGCAUGCACGCAUUGUGUUAAUGAACCCUACCAAUUGCCAACAGAAUCACAAUCCCCACAAACCCAAGUUUUGAUUUUGACAGAUGAUAGGAUAUUUAGAAAGAUGCUUUAUGACGGAUCCUCAAUCUAUUCACAAUAAUUUACAAUUUAAUACUCAAUCUAUCAUAAAAAUAUCGUCUUUAUAUUUGUGUGAAUGAACAUAUAUCUUACACAAUCAAUGGAAAACUGAGUGCUGCUUGGGUAAUUGGUCAUGUGUCACAACAUCGGUCUAAGAUCCAAAUUAACGUUUCAAAGACAUGAACUCAAUAGUAUAGGCAUAAUUAUACUUAUGUCCCUUAACUAUAUCUCGUCUCAUGUAUGUUGUCUGAAACUCAAUUGACUCAGUUUGUCUUGUUUCAAAGUUAACAUUAUGUUAAGGGUGAUGUUACAGAGAGCAUAUACUUAAACCAUAUUUUGUAAACCACAUGAUGUGGCAGUUGAUGGUUGGACUCAUUCUUAAAUCUUUAAAGAAAGAAUCCAACCAUUAACUGCCACAUCAUAUGACAUACAAAAUAUGGUCUCCUAACAUUUUUCUUCUAUUAACCAUAAACCUUUUUCGUUAGAAUCAACAAGGGUAUUUUCUUCGUUACCCCAACAUAGAUAGUAUUAACGAACGAAUGAUCCCCAUGUAGAUCAAGAAACCAAGGCAAGUCAGUUUCAACUGACUAAGUGAGACACGAAUUAUAGUUCAGACCUAGUCAAAGUAUAAUUAAGCCUUAAUUACGUGAGUACUUGAGAGUUCGUGCAUUUACUUAACAGUUCAUGCAUCUUUUUCCUUUCUAGAUACGAAGUAACUAGUAAGUACAUGACAUGAUCUGGCUGCACAAGAUCCAUAUACAAUGCAUGUAAUUAGGAUUUUCUGGUGGAAUUUGAUUGAUAAAUUAGGUGUGAUGUUUGGUACAACAAAAUCACACCGUGAUUGGUACUGAAAAGUCCAAAGGGAAGCCAACCUGGGCUUUUUCUAGGAGAGGGUACCCCAGGCAUGAUUGGGAACGUGGUAUAUGGGUGGACUAAUGGUCGGAUUCAUGUACAAUUUUUAGGUCAUUUUUAGGGCAAAGGGGGUCCUAUUGACAACGGAUCAUGGUUGUUAAUUAAUCAUCUGAUUAAGAUAAUUAGGCACAGAUAUUAUGCAACUUACCAAAUCUUCGAAUGGCAACCACAUAUUUUAUCAUGGGGGCAUGGUAGUAGGCAGGAAGGUUAAGUAUAUCUCGUCUUUUGGUUUGAUGAAAGAGUUGGCGGAUGAAUUUAUUUGUAGCCAUUAAAGUUUACGGUGUGACAUGCCCACGUAGUGUAUGUCGAAGUAAAAUGACAAAUCCUAUUUACCGGGAGCGUUUAAUUUUUAAUUAUCUUUCAAUAUUACUCGCGGAAACAAUUGUCUAUACCACUCAUUUGUUUAGCUAUAUUUUUUUUCUAAUAAAGGGGGGACAACUGGUGGUAAGCCACGGUUAUUCACCCAUUCCGGAGGCCGGGAAGACUCACAGGGACAUUUCAAUCUCCUCCUAGCCACAAGUCUGGCUUCCACACUAGCAGCGGGUUUCGAACCCGAGACCUCCAAUUUCUAAUUUUAAGGAAGUUUCGUAAUCCGUAAUUUACCACUAGUUCACCAGCUUGUGGUUCAUUUGUUUAGCUAUUUGAUUAUCUACAUUUUUGUUCAGUUUUAAGAUUUUAUUUAAUGAACUAUAGUAGCUUGCAGUUUUUAACGAAUCGGAGUUGAUUCCACACUAGCAGCGGAUUUCGAACCCGAGACCUCCAAUUUCUAGUUUUAAGGAAGUCUCGUAAUCCGUAAUUUACCACUAGGUCACCAGCUUGUGGUUCAUUUGUUUAGCUAUUUGAUUAUCUACAUUUUUGUUCAGUUUUAUGAUUUUAUUUAAUGAACUAUAGUAGCUUGCAGUUUUUAACGAAUCGGAGUUGAUUCCAACUCGUUCUAAGUUCAAUUUAAAUCGAUCUGAGUUUGUUGUUCCUUUGUGGAUCCUCCUUUAGUGAGCAAAUUUUAGGUUUUGGUGAUAGCAACAUCGUAGAUGGGGUGAGUUUAAAAUAAUGAGGUAUCCCACACAUUGAUAAUAUCUAUUAGCAUAUCAACAACAUUAUGAACAUAUAGACGUUUACAUACAUUAUAGAAAUCGUAUCAACAAUAUCUACACUGUAUGUCAAUACUAUAUCUAUGGUAUUUACGUUAUAUCAAUAUUUAUCUAUGUAAGGGUACUUUAGACAUUUACCUCUUUCAACACUCUGUCGUUCAUGUCUUUCCCAUCUUUCUUUCUAUUUCAGCACUUUGUGUUUGAAAUCCUUCUACUAUAGCUAAUUUCCCUAUUAUAUUUGUACACGACUCAUAAUAUGAGGAAAUGUAACGACUAUUUUGGACUGCUUCUACUGAUCACCUUGAUGACCGCUGCUUUAAUAAAGGUGGGUCUAAUUUCUUCUUCAAAAAGAUAGAUAUAGAGGAUCAAUGACACAAUUACUUACACGUACAUUUUGAAAAGACAUAUAUAGAAAAGAAUCAUGAUCGUAACCAGUCUUAUUUAGGAUAGGAAAUCACAAUUUUGCCUAAGAAUAUAUGUAUAGGAGGGUCCACACUUAUUAGACAAAUGUUGAAUAAUUGCGGUACAAAUAACAUUAUUCAAACGUAACACUAUCUGUGCAACAAUGAGUCCCACUUCGGGGUUAUUGGAAUUUCAAAAAUAGUAAAAGAAUUAUAUAAAGGUAACUUGAAAAAUGAAAUGAAGAUUAGCAUUACCAUAUUCUAAAGUUGAGGGCCUAUAUUUCGAUUAUUUACGAUUUUGCCAUUCCUCGGAAAGAUGGUCUGAUUUGGGUUGCCGCAGUUGGGCGGCAUGUGGGCUUCGCACAGGGUUUUGGAGGCCUGUACUCAAAAUGGCCCAAGGCCUGUAAUCAUCUAUGUGAGUAUCCGUACCAGAGGGUAAGCUUUUUGCUUUAGCACACACUAUCUACCCAUUUUUCAUUUUUUUUCAUGUACCAUGGUACAUUAGAAAAAUAUAAUUUAGUGGUACGUUUUCCUUUUAGAGGAUAGUUUGUAUGGGGUACAUUUCAAUUUAACAUUAAUAUUGUCUAUACAAAUUUCCGUCGUCUUCAGUCUUGACGAAAAUGCACCUGCAAAACAAUCAACACCUUUGAUCAAAAACUUAAGCCUCAUGCGUCCACAAGGGUGGGGGGUUAGGUCAACGGAUCUCCAAUGCCUAAGUUAGUUUAUCUGAGAGAGUAAAGUGUUUAGGGCUUUUUUCAGGGUUAGCCAAAGCUCUCAAAAUUUGGUAGAAAUAUGGAGUAUUUAUAGAGAUAGGGCCGACCAUAGUGUUUAAUGGAGAGAUAUUCUCUAAAUAUUUCCAAGAUAUUAAAUAGGAAAUAAUACAUUGAGAUAAUGGUGUAAUUAUCCCCAAUUGAUUUAAAUUAGGAUUACUUACUUGAUUGGAGUCAAUCUUCAAUUAGGAAUGUAUUAAAGAUAGGAUUUGGGUAAUUAAUCCUUAUCUUUAAUUCCUUGCCAAGGGCAGGUGAGUUGUGAGCAGUCGUACUCAGCUGCUAAGACCUCCAGGAAUGUGAGUUGCGCGUGGGAGCAUCUGAGAAGUCAGCCCAUUUAUUGAGGGCAAUCUUGUCUUUCUUGAAUAAAAGUCACGUGUCGCCUCUAGAAUUUUUGGAAUUAUUUUAGGUUCCACAAAUGCCCUCACACCUACUGUGCUGCACACAGAAAAAUGAUAGUAGGUGCAGGAAUCCCAAGCUGCUUAGGCUUGUAGAAUUGUUUCCCAAUUUGAACUUGAUCUUCUUUUUUGAUUUGGAGAUAGACUUCUUCCAGGAAAAGGAAAAUAAUUGCCCCCAAUACCUAUUUAAUUAUGCCUUAAGCAGGGGAUUAAAUAAAUUUGGAGAACAAUCAUUAUUCCAACAAGGAAGAGAAGCCAGAGGAAAUUUUUAUUGCCCUCCCCUAGCGUUCUUCUUUUCUUGCCCUUGCAAAUAGUCGUUUCUCGUUGUUGUUAUUCUUUUUCUCUGUGCUGCACCAAGGUAAGAAAAACUUAAAUUUUCUUCUUCUUGAAUUUUUUGGGUCUUGGGACUUGAAAAAUUGGCUUGGUGGGUGCCAAGAAGGUGUGAGUGGCGUGGCAGGGAUGUCAUGGGGCUGCAGGUGGUGCGGCAAGAAGGUUGGCUCGACUUGGCCGAGGUGUCAGCGGCGCUAGGGCGCUGAAAGGUUGGAACGGGCCGGACCUUGUGGGCUACUGGACAGGGGCCCGUGCAGUAGAUAGGCCAUAGAGAGGGAAAGUUCGGCUAGGGCUGGCUCUCCGUCUUUGGUGGCCUGGGUUGCAUGACCCGACCUUGCUUCUUGGGGCGCCUAGCACGCGAGCAGAAAAGGGUGAGGAGACGUGGGCCUCCCCCCGCGUUGGGUCGACCUGCAUGCAAGAGAGAGAGGGCCGAGAGGCUUUGGGCCUCGUUGGGCUAUUUGGCGCGCGAGGAAGAGAGAGAGGAAGGAGGCACGAGCUUCCCCCCUAUGUUGGGUUGAAACGGCUUGGGCCGUGGAAUGUUGGGCGCGAAAGGGUUUGGGUUUAUUUUCAAAUGAUUCAACUCAUACCAGAACAACGAACCAGUUGGGUAGUGCUCCUGGCAAGGGCGCAUAAGCAAAAAAUUAACAUACAUAUCAAUUUUUUUAGAUCUGAAAAUUGAAAAACCCAAAGGCCCUGUUUGGUACUCUACUUGAAUCCAACUUUUUAAACUAAAAAACAAUUUUUAAGUUUUAGGCCUUAAAAAACUUGUUUGGUAGGACUAUUUUCAAAAACUGAACUCAAAACUAAGUAAAAAAUAUAGUCUAUUCUCUAAAAACAUAAAAAGUGAGUUUUUAGAGUUUUUAAACUUAAACUCACUCAUUUCUUUGCUCUCCCUCCUCCCCUCCCACUCCAAAUCUAUCUCUCUCUCUUUUCUCUCUCUCUUUCCUCUUUUUUUUUUACCUUUUUCGUCUCUCCUCCAACCCGCUAUCUUCUUUCUAUUGGUUAUUUCUCUCACUUAUUUUCCUCUCUAUCUCGUCUGAUCAUUUCCCUUCUUUCUCGUUCUUUCAAUCAUCUCUUACUUUCUUUCCUCCUCUCUCCUCUUUCUCCCUCUCUUGCGACCCUCUCUUUUUAGUUCUCUUUGUCCAUUUUAAGUCGUAAGAUUUAAAAAUUUUAAAUUGCAAACCAAUCACAUUUUUGAAUCUUAAAGAAAAUUGUUCUCAAGAAAUGUUCUUAAAAAAUGUUUUGAGAAAUGAUAAAAUUUUCAAAUAGGAUACCAAACAGGCCCUAAAAUUUUAAUUAAAACACAAAUUUGCAAUCAAUUGCAAAAUUAGAGAGAAAAAUAACCAGCUUCAAUCAAUUGAAAAAAAAAAUUGGAAGAAAAAGCCGAUUCAACUACACGAGAAGGGUUCAAUCCAAACCCUCAAGUGGAUACUCUAUCCCUUCUUCACCCUUCGUAAUCAGCGUUUGCAUCAUGUCUUGGCAAACACGCAAAGAAGACACGGAGUCCAUACCACGCGUAACCUGCUUGCCCAAUCCUUCCUGGUGAGGAACAGGCGCGAGCAUUGCCGUUUGAACUCCAAAACGACGGGUGUGGAAUUUGUUGUCCCCAAGAAGUCCGAAUCAGAGGAAGGCAGAACAGUGAGAGAAGAAGAAGAAAAAUUGCAAGAAAAAUAGGAUGAGGACGGGACAGAGAAGGAGGAUGAAGAGAAAAGAACUUGGGAUUCAGAUUAGAGAUCAAGCGAUGCGGGAUGGAGAGAGCAAACGAUGAGGGACAGAGAUAGCGAGAGAGGCGUGUUUUCUACCCGACUAAAUAAUACCGUGGUUUUGGGCGGUAUAACUAAGUGGGUAUCAACGGGAUAAAAGGGGUGGGAUCAGAUUAUUUAAUCCGGUGACUAUUUAGUACAUAGAGACAUCAAACAUCCAACUUCGUAUUAUGUGUUAUACAUCGUACCAAAUAAGACCACAGUAUACUUAAGCUUGGCUCCAACUAUUUUUUCGAACUCAAACUCAACUUUUGCAAGCCAAACUUAAAAAAUAAUAAUUUUGGAAGUGAGAGUGGUUUUUAGAGUUAAAGACAAUAAUAAUUUUGGAAUAUACACGUUGAAAAUGAUUUUUGGUGUAUUGAUAAUUUUUUUUAAUCUUAUGAGGUCGAAAUUGUCAUUGCAUAUUAGAGUAUAUAAAUAAUUUCAUAAUUUUUGAAAUGUCAUAUAAACUAUACACAUUUUUCAAUAUGGCAUAUAAACUAAAUUUUAAGCAAUUGUCAUAUUAACUUUCUGAAAUCAUUAAUUUGUCAUCUCAUCUUAGCACCGUUAAGUUUUUCAUCCAAAAUACUUGCACAUGCCUUGUUUCAGGGUUAUUUUAGAUGUUUGGCCUGAUUUUCAUUUCAUUUUAUGGUUUGCCAUGAGAAAUAACCUUGUAAAAACAAAGUAAGUUUGAUAUUACCAUUGUUUUAGAGGACUACUAUACUUCAUGAACAUGUGAUAUAUUUGACGAUUAUACUGUUGGAGAGAAACUUGAUCAAAAUUAUAUCAUGUAAUACAAGUUUCGUUUUUGUUUUAGAAUAAAAAUAUUAUUCCAUUACAUAAUCAUUUCAUUUUUUGGUUUGUAGAAACCUAGAUUGUUGUUUCGUUGAAAGCAACUUUUUAGAAGGAGAGUGGAGAGCUGAAAUGUUCUAAAUAACCUAAACACAAGUCAUGUGCAAGGCACAUGACCUACUUUUUUUUUAUAGAAAACCUAAUGGAGUUAAGGGCAUAUGACAAAAUUUAAGAUUUCAAAAAGUUGAAAUGACAAAUCGCUUAAAAUUUUAGUACAUAUAACAAAUUGAUAAAAAUGAAAACUAAUGAAAAAGGCUUGAAAACUUUGAGUUUUAACGAUAAAGACAAAAUAAAGGGUAAAAUGAAUAGUAAUGUGGACAGUAAUGUGGGUUUUUCGUUAAAACUUCCUUGAUAAAAACGUAUUAGUUAUUAUGACAUUUUAAAAUUUUCUCCUAAACUUUAAUGUGAAGUAUAUUCAACCUUAUGUUGUAUAACCAUUUUUUUCUCGACAUUUUCAAAUUUUCAAUAACUAUGUAUACCAGUUUUCAUAUUCAGCAUUGGCGCACACGACAUUAUCCAAGUAUCGAAGGCAUCAUUUGACUUAUGCAGUUCAGCAAAACCCAUUGGCUCAACCCUCAGAGCUGGCUCAGUAAACAUCACUCUCACCUCCGCAGGCAACUGCUACUACAUCCAGUGGCGAAGCUAGAAAUUGACGGGGGAGGGGUGAAGUUAGGUAGUGUCUACGAAUUGCUUCAUGAUAAUUAGGUGGAUAAUCAAGCAUUCAACGUCUAUGUCCAAGGUAUGCAAGAAGAUUAACCAAUAUUACUCAGUGGUCUCACUUUGUUGUGAACUACUUGGAAUACUUGAAUGAGGACUUCUUGGAAUAUUUGAAGGAGGAUGAGGACCACUUGGAAUAUUUGAAGGAGAAGGACUACCUGAAAUGUUUGAAGGAGGAUUUAAGCAUUGUUUCUUAUAGUAUCGUUCAAUUACGUAACUGUAAAAUGGAGAGAAAAAAAAUUCUUACACUCUUAAUCCUAGAGUAGACUAUACUAAUAUGCAUAAUAAUUAAUCCAACUAACAAUUCAAUUAAGCUAUACCAAUAAGCGUACAAAUUAUUCAAUGAAUAAAUAUUCAAUUCAACUAAUCAUAUGAAUAAUUGUAUACAUUAUGUAAUAAUUCAAUUAAUUAAUCAAUAAUCAAGAAUUCAAAUUUUAAUUUUCACCCUAAAAAAUAAUUUUAAUUUCAUAUCAAUAAUCAUAGAAUCAGAUCAAUAAUCAAUAACCAUAUUAGUGCAAAAAUAACAUUACAAAUUACAAAGACUAAAUAUGUCCCCAACGAAAUUUCAUACUAAAAAAUGCGUCAUGAUAGAUUUAUUGUCAACUAGAGCAAAAACAUCCGUAUAUGAUUGAAACCAUCCAAUAUUGAAAUUGAACUAUUUGAUCUAUGGACACUGGAGAUGAGACUAGUGUUGUGCUGGUAGGUGGCCUUCGGUGGGGUGGGGUGGGGAUAAGGAAUGGUUCUCUGUUUCAAAUUUGAACCGUUUUGUUUUUGUUUUUUCAAAAAAUAAAAAUAAAAAUCGUGAAAACUAUAUAUUAAAAAAGUGCACCAAACGCACUGUUUUACUAAAGGGUGUUUUCAAACCCGAGCCCUAGGUAAAACACACCGUUUUACUUAAAUGAUAAAUAGUCUUCUUCUUCCUUCUUCUAAUUUGCAGAACACCAGAACUCUGCAGCCCCGCUCCUCUUAUCCUCCACCUUGUGCCCAGACGGGGUGGUCCUCGGAGGUCCUUAUAGCAUAUUAUUUGGACUUUUGGGUGGUCCCAGGACCACCCAGGUCCCUUAAUAGAUCUGCCCCUGACUGAACCAGUGGGUUUUCCGACGAGGGGAGGGGCGGACCCAGAAAUCCAGUCCUGUUUUCCGACGAGGGGAGUGGCGGCUACCACUCCUCGCCCUCAUGUGGCUUCGCCACUGACUACAUCUACAGUUUUGGCCUAAAUUGCCAGUCAGGCAUGAAGCUAGCCAUCAUCGUAUCUGGUGCUUCCCCACGAUCCUUACUGUUAAGAACUCUGUUCCUCGUCAUUGGUGUAGUUUUCGGCAUACUUGUUAUGUCUGACCUCCUAUGAUUUUUAAUUUUCCGGCGACGACGAAAAGUCAAGUCCUUUGGCUCCAACCAUGGGAAGACAAAGUCAACAAAGAACCUCGAGUCACCUUUACUGCUUUAUCUGUGUCGUUAUUUUUCGUUGGCUAAGAUUAAAGCCAGCACCCAAAACUUCAAUGAUACUUUCAUUAUUGGUGUUGGCGGGUUUGGCAAUGUGUACAAAGCAUACAUUGACGGCAGUGCCACUCCUGUUGCUAUCAAACAGCUAAGACCCGAGUCAUCACAAGGGGCCCGCAAGUUCAAGACGGAGAUCGAGCUGCUCUCCCAACUCCGCCACCGCCAUUUGGUUUCACUCAUUGGUUACUGUGCCGUUAAAGGUGAGAUGAUCUUGGUUUAGGAUUACAUGGCAUGCAGCAUUCUCGGUGACCAUCUGUAUCGUACAGGUAACUCUAAACCUCUUCCUUGGGAACAACGGCUUCAAAUUUGUAUUGAUGUUGCGCAAGGGUUACAUUACCUUCACAGCGGUGCCAAAGGCUCCAUUAUUCAUCGCGAUGUGAAGAGCAUAAACAUUUUAUUGGAAAAAUGGUGGCCAAGGCAUCGGAUUUCGGGUUGUCAAAAAAUGGGCACGACUAGCAUGUCCAAAACGCACAUCAGCACGGUGGUGAAAGGGAGUUUCGGGUAUCUAAACCCGGAGUACUACAAACGUCAACAGUUGACUGAGAAGUCCGAUGUGUACUCAUUUGGGGUGGUUUUAUGGGAGGUAUUGUGUGCGAGGCCAGUUCUAAUGCAUAAGGUGGAGGCUAGGGCAAUCAGCCUCGCUGAGUGGGCCAAGAGUUGUCAUGGAGACGGGACACUUGAUCAAAUCAUUGAACCAAAUGUGAAAGGUAAGAUUGAAGUCGAGUGCUUGAACAAAUUUCGUUGACAUUGCUAUAAGUUGCUUACAUGAUAAAGGAAUCAAACGACCAUCGAUGAAUGAUGUUGUGAGGGGGCUUGAGUUGGCAUUGCAGCUUCAUCAAAAGAGCAUUGGAAGUCAGGGCGACAAUGGGGCUGCCUUUGUCAAUGACUGCGGUGAUGACAAAUAUUCCGAACAAUGUAUAUAUGUGACAAUCUUCUUUGAGAUCAACGAUACAUAUGAAAGAUGAUGAGCAACAUUUUACAAAGUGCAAGCAAUAUUCUGGAAACAAUAUCUCAAAAUGUAUAUGUUGUAUGCUUUUCGGUGACACUCCAGAUUCAACAUCAACAACAAUGGAACUGAGAUCCUCAAAAUGUAUAUUAACUGAAUGCUGCAACCACAAGCCAGCAAAGAAAGGAAGUAUGAAACUAUAUUGUCAAUUGACUUUUGAAAUACAUAAAGGUCGUACCCAGUGCACAAGGCUCCCGCUUUACGCAGGGUCUGGGAGAGGUGAAUGUCGGCUAGCCUUACCCCCAUUUAUGGAGAGGCUGCUCCCAAGUCUCGAACCCGAGACCUACCGCUCAUGGGCGAAGGCACUUGCCAUCGCACCAAGUGCGACCUCUAUUUUUGAAUACAUACACGAAAUAUUUCAGAAUUUGAUGUUUUGAAUCACAUUACAAAGACUACAAUGGGAAAAUCGACUUUAACCACUGUAACAUGUUACAAAAAUGAAAUAGAAAAUAUUCAGAACAAGCAAGACUUUUCAAAGAAAAUGAGAGGUAAAGAAAGCUUAGUUAACUUAGCACAGCUUGUAAUUUUUUAACCUUUCCCUUUCUCCUCCAUGCGACGAUUGUUCUUGUAGAAAAACGAAAUGUUAUAUAUAGUGGUCAUUUAACCCUCCUCUCCUCUGGCAAUGAUUGGCAAACUUGGGAAGCUUGCGUACGAAAAGCUCUCCAAGAGAAGCCAUCGUGUCCUGCAAAAAAAAAAAAAAAAAAAAAAACAGAACUUAAGACUUAAGAUUCGCAGAAUGACAGUCUAAUGUCUGCCUAUCGAUGAUCUACAAAGUAUUUGAACAAUAUGCAUGCUAUGUUUCUCAUAUUUAUUUAUUUAUUCUUUAUUUUUAUAUUUGUGCAACCAUGAAAGUUAAUUGGAUGCAAAAUAUACCUGACUUCGAAUGGCGGCAAACCCUCUUCUGGAAGGCAUUGGAAACUGUCACACCCCCAAAUAUAUAACUUUUGACGAGAAGUGAGGUUUUGAAGUAGACCUUCUCCUGGCAAAUACUCCAGACCUGGGCAGCUUUCAGUUCAUAGCUCUUGAAGAGAAGUGAGGUGUCGAAGUCCCUUUCUGUCCAUUGAUUCCAAGUAGUUUGGACAGAUCACAAGUGCUUAAAUUGUUUCAUGGCUAUUCUAAUGUCCUCGCCUGCAAAACCGGGUGCUCCAUUUUAUGACUGACUUGUGUUGUUGGAAUUUGAACAAGUGAAGUAUGUGGAAGCAGCAUUGCAUCAUAAAGAUGUCGGGUCUGUGCAGCUGUGCUACUUCGUGUCACCUUUAGGCAAGCCUUUGUACCCUGUGGUGGAGAAAAGCAUCUCACUGUAUUAAAAAAUGGAGAACAUUCAACCACAUGAACUUUUAUUUCACACCUUGUUCGCUAAAUUUUAUGUUGAUGAUGAAGAAAAAGAACGAAAGGAAAAGAAAAGUGAGAAAGCACACCUCCACAUCUUCUGCUAAAAGAUCUAAUUACGUGCGGCUUUCCAUUUUUGCUGCGAAUUUAUGGCCAGGUUUACAAGAGCAUAACAUAUCUCCGCAAGCUUGAUGGUCCCUGAAUAAAGAAAAUGAGACAACCUGCCAACGCAGAAGGAGGGAAGUACAGAUGCGAGUUUGUGCCACCCAUAUUAGGCUUCUGUAGUUCAAAAAUCAACAUUUCGAGUCCUCCUGUAAUUAGAGGUUUACCUCCAUCUGUUUUCACACACUCCUACUACAUAUGAAAUUUUGAAAUGCCUGCUUCUUGUGAUAGCUAUUCAACAUGGAUGCCAUCUCGGAUGCUUUUGCCUUACAUAUCAGCUCAACAAACUCCUAAAUACAGAGAUGAAAGUAAAAUUCAAUGGGCACAUUGAUGAUAAAGAAUGAACAAAACUAACUAUUACGGUUUCAAAUAGAUCCAAUUAUUGUUGCUUCGUAAAUUAAUUCUCUCUAAGAAGUCUAUGAUUUGUAAAUUAUAUUAACAUGAUUUUUUUUUUAAAUGGUAUGCAAACUACAUAAAACAGGGAUACUGUGAAGGAACAAAACUGAAACAUAUAUUCAGUUAAAAUUUGUUAAAACGAAGCAUCAUAUCCUCUGCAUAAGAUGGUCCAUGGUAAGAGAGAAUGUAAAAUAAAGCUCAUCUGCAGUAUUCAACUAAAGGUCUAUUACCAGUUCACAUUGUAAAGAAAAGCAUAGAUACACCAACUUGAAGAUGAUAAUGGCAUUGAAAGAAGAUGAGAUAGCAGGCCACCGUAUUCAAACCAUGCCCAUAUGACAAAGAAAUAUAUCAUCCCGGGGUUCCAUCAUCUUCCUUUAGAGGUGCAUCAUUUUCAAGCCAAAAAUGCUUAGUAAAUUGAUGUGAGCUAACAUCCGUCGCCUCAGACAAUCGCCUCUUAAGUUCCACAAUAAGGAUUCUGCAGUAAUGACGCCACCAUAUUCAAACCAAAUAAGUCAGUGCAUCACAUAUAUAGGUGAAUUACGAAUUUUUGUUUGUAAAGAAACUCAUCCGCACCAACAUAAAAGCCACCAUAUUCAAACGAAAUCAGAAUGAUUAAAAAAUAAAAAUAAAAUCGUCCUAAGGGUUACCUACAUGAUAUCUCUUGCACCAGCGUGAAGAUCACUAGGACAUCAGAAGAAAACCAGAAAAGCAUGCCACGGCUGUUUACUCAUGCCAGACAGGCCUAGUAAUUGAUGCAAGCUAGCAUCUGUUCCCUUGGGUAAUUCUACCUUACAGUUCUACACCACAGUUAGCUCGCUGCCACAUCCACAAAGGCCAUAAAUGAGUCUGUCCUGGCACAUUGUAUUAACAGAUACUUAGGAUUGAUUUUACAAAAGUCUUGAUAACUAAUGCUGAUUCACGCAACCAAGAAAUGGUAAAAAGAAUACAGAACAGUUGAAUAAUGCAUCAAUAAUACACAUGAGCUACUGAGAAACUAAUCUGCAACUUUGAUUCUCAAAACUUUCAAUAACAUUUCUUCUUUUUCUCUGCCCCUCCCUCCCCACUCACUCUCUCUCUCUCUCUCUCAUCAACAAGUUUAUGUUGGAGAUAAAUAGAAAGAAUGAAACGAAAAGAAACAUCAGAAAACACACAUUGAAAUAUUUAACUGCACACAUCUUUACAUUUGUCAGCUACGAUUAUAUGAGCAUAAAGUAUCUACGCAAGCAUCAAGCUGGUAACUGAAUAAAGAAAACGAGACAGCCUGCCAAUGGAGAAGGAGGAAAACGUGGAUGCAAGUUUGUGCCCCCUAUGUCGAAAGCAUGCUUUCAAUAAGAAAUGAAUGAAAUCCGAAACCGGAAUGCGAAUGCAGAGACGUGACAUAUUCCAAAAGUUCUUGGUAAAAAAAUUGUGAGUUUUCGAAGUACCAUAUAUUCUGUAAGUGACGCCAGGGAUAAGGCUAGAGAUUAAAUAAGAGCAAACAAUACUUGACAACGAAAAUGCAGAGAUGAGAAACAAAUUGCAAUAUUUGUAAUUUCUGAAACGUUAAUACAUUAUUCGGUUAUGAAAGAGUACCUAAACAUGUUGCACUUUGAUGCUUACUUUGCUGGAUUGAUCCUCUUCAUACCAUCCCAAAAUGUUGAUCAAUAUGUGUCUUCUUUGCUGCAAAGAAAAAAUUGAUCAAUAUGCUAUGAUUCUUAUUUCUAUUAUGUCUUUUAUUUUUCAAACUAUUGAAGUUAAUUAGAUGCAAAAUACCUGAGAGUCAAAUGCCGAAAAGCACAACUUUGUAUGAGAGAGACAGAGCUCAUAUGAUGACUUCGUCGUUUAUCCGUAUGCAAGGAAUGUGAGAUAUCUUGGCCCAAUCUUCUCCCGUCUUAUCCUCAUACCUUUUCUCCAGGGCGGAACAAGAGUAGAUCUCCAGGCAAGAAAGAGAUGGCGGCAAACCGUUUUCUGGCAGGAAUUGGAGUUUUGGACAGUCAGAAAUUCGUAGCUUUUGAAGAGAAGUGAGGUGUAGAAGUCCCUCUGUUGGAAGGAAUUCCAGACUUGGGCAACGAGAAAUAUUUAGAAAUUGAAGAGAAGUGAGGUGUUGAAGUCCCUCUCGUGGCAGGAAUUCCAGACUUGGGCAAUCUUCAAUACUUAGCCAAUGAAGAGAAGCAAAGUGUCGAAGUACUUUUACAUCCACCACCGAUUUCAGACUUGAUAAUCCAAUGAUGAGGAGACCGUUAAGAGUAGUAGGGAGCAGGAGCUGUUCCUUGAGCAACGGUGCCCAGAUCUCGCCAGCAAUUUCAAAAUGUUUAAGGGAGACAAGUCCUUGUAAUCCCCACUCCACCGAAGGCUUCACUUUGUCGCAACGUCUAACAUCAAAAUAUUGCAGGUUGGGAGGCAAACCCCCUUGUGCAAAUGAUACAAGAUUUGGAAGAUUCGAGAUAUGCAAUCGUUCAAGGGCGGUGAGGGUGCGAAUUCGUUCGGGGAACGACUUCAAAUUCAUGCACGUCCAGACCUUCAAUUCUCUCAAGUUGGGAGUGGGCAAUCCUCCGUCCGGGAAAGACGCCAGAUUUGGACAGUUGCAGAUUUGGAGUUGAUUGAGAUGGCUUAGGUUCUGAUCAACUCCUUCAAUAGAAAAGGAUUCCAGAUUCUCACAGCCAUCAAUUUCAAGAGUUGAAAGUUUGGGGAAAACGCCCAACGGGAAGGACCUCACUGAAUGAAAACUAUCGUAUAUAAACAAGGACUCAAGUGACGUCAAUUCGGCCAUCAUCUCAUGAGAUAAGAACUCUAAUGACGACGGUUGGGCAAUCCCUGAAAGUCAAUCUUCGAAGAUAUUUCAUUUUGGGCAGGCACUGUAUUGCAUCAAAAUUAGAAAUUCUCAGUGUGGACAAGAACUUCUUCUCUACUCUCUCUAUUAAUGGUAACAGACCUGGGCAUCCACCAAUCUCUAUUUCCAAUGAAUUCUGUAAGUAGUCCAUGUUAAUACUGGCCCAUUCAUCAUGCAGAUGCAGAUAUUCACACCUAUACACCCUAAGUGUUUUCAAGCAUGGAAGAUGAUUGGGCAAGUACCCUCUCAGCUUCUUACAGUAACUUAUUCUCAGCACCUCGAGACAAGGAAAGUCUGAACAUUGACCUUCACUUGGACUCGGUAGCCAAUCCUCCCACUCUGGCAUCUCCUUAAACUCUAGCAUCUUCAGAGACCGAAAGGGCUGAAUUACAGAAGCUCCAUUAAGAUCACCAUAGAAUUCAUCACCAACUUUCGUAACAAAAUUCAUCCUUUCGAUGCGUAGCUCUUUAAGAGUGGGCAGCUGCCCAAAACUUGGCAAGGACAAACAAUACUUACAAUCACUGAUACACAUGAACUGUAUGUUCGAGAAGGAAUUAGAGCUUCCUAACCAAUUUGGGAAGCUGAACCCUCCAUAGAAUCUGAUAGUCAGUUUCUCCAAAUUUGCAGAAGGUUGGAGCUUGUCAAGCACAUCUCUCUCCUUUUGGGAAUCAUCGGCUUCCUCCACACCCCAUGCCAACUCUAAGUCCUUGAGUUCUUUCUUAUCCUUCAAAUUGGCUUCCAAUGCAUCCACAACAUGAACUCCAUUGUGCAGCUUUGAAAUACAAAGUCUUCCUUGAAGAUGCUGCAACUCCCUUAAUUCUCCAAUGCUAGACCCGGUAGAUUUCCCCACAACGAAAUCAGUUAAUGUUCUCAAACUUUUUAGUCUUCCAAUUUCCACUGGCAUCACUUGUAUUUUUGUUCCCCAGACAUCGAGGUAAUGCAAACUACUCAAUUCCCUCAUAUCUGCUGGUAAUUUAGUAAGGGAGCUGCAACCUGCCAACGUUAACUUCCGUAAAUUUAUCAAUUUUGUCAUGUCUGCUGGCAGUUCAAUGAGAGCAUGACAAUAUGACAACAGCAACGUCUGCAAAUUGUAGAGAGUGCAAACUGCACCAGGUAAGCUUACAAUUGCCGUCCCGGAGAGAUCCAGGUAGCGCAGGUGAAUGAGACUGCCCACAGAAUCAGGUACUUCAGAAAAAUUUCCAUAAUGUGACAAUGAUAAAACCCGUAAACGUUUCAGGGAUGGCAACAAAUCAUGUAGAAACUUUUUACUUAUGUGGAAGAACGAGCCAUAUAAUGAGAUAGGUAGGAAGGUCCGCAGACACUUAGCCCCAUUUAAUGGCUCAAAUUUUUUAGCAGCAUCAAUUUCUCCCCUAUCAUAUGACAAAUGACGAAGUCUUUCAACUUCUUGUGAUUCCCUCUCUUCCAACCUGAGAAAAAAUCCCCUAGACAUGAACUGACCCAAGUCGUUAAGAAGAUCAUGCAUUGUGAAACCAUCCUCCCCUGAUUUUUGAAGUAGCGAUCGUGAUACCAGCUCAUCGAAGUAACUUCUAGCCGUCUCUUCCAUUCUUUGCCCGUUAAAACCUUGUGGAAUUAAACCUUCUGCCAUCCAAAGUAGAACCAUAUCUUCCUUCUUGAACUCAUAGUCUUUUGGAAAAAUUGAACAAUAAACAAAACAUCGUUUCAACGGAGCAGGGAGAUAAUGAUAGCUCAACCCUAGGGCUGGAAGGAUAUCACUUUUAUCAUAAGGUAGCUCCCAAAGACUACUACUUAAUAAUUUAUUCCAUUCCUCGAAGUCUCUCUGGCCACGUAAUAGACCCCCGAGUGUUUCUGCCGCUAA